RNAcentral lists this long non-coding RNA (72597 nucleotides) under Citrus x clementina. RNAcentral's name for it is "Citrus clementina (C. clementina) long non-coding RNA (CCLE_LNC004464)". Lineage: Eukaryota; Viridiplantae; Streptophyta; Magnoliopsida; Sapindales; Rutaceae. The record is from RNAcentral.
AAUACAUUUAUAAUAAAAUUUAACAAACGCACGUACAUUACUUUUAAAUUUUACAGCAACUGCGACAACACAGCUUACUAAACACUAAGGAGCUUUUUUAAUUAGCUGUUUAUUGCAUCCGUACAGUAAAAGUAACUUAUUUAAUUAACAAUUGCAAUCCCAAAGUGGCUCUUUGUCCUCGUCCCAUCUCCUAACCCGACAAAUAAAUUGCCUUUAAGCCACCAAAACUAUUUGAAAAUUUUUGGGCAAUGGAAAAUGCUAUUUCCACAAAAUCAAAAGAAAUUAAUUUUCCUAUGUUGGAUUAAUACAUAGUGUUGGUUCGAUUUAGAAUUAAUCCAUAAUUUGGUUCCUUUUUUUGGUUUUUUAAAGUUCAUUCAUUUGUAUUUUGUGAUUUUUUUUAUGUUACGUUUACUAAUUCUUAAUUGGAAUGGAUGGAAUCAGAAUGUUAAUUGAUAAUCAUAAUAAAUUUUGUUAUUUUACUUAUUAAAAUUGGAAUCAAAAUGAGUUGUAUUACUAUUAAUCUGUUUAUUUUGUUUUGGAAUCAAAAUAGAUUAUUACAAGUUACUAAAAUAACCUAAGUUGAUUAUUUUCAUUAUUUAUUAUAAUAAUUGUGAUUAUGAUUUUUAUCAUUCAAUAUAAUUAUUGUUAAUAAUAAUAAUAAUAAUAAUGACGACAAUGAUAUAUUAUUAUUAUUAUUAUUAUUAUUAUUAUUACUACUACUAGUACUAUUAUUAUUGUAUUACUAAUGAUAAAUAAUUUAGGACCUAUUUGCAAGUGGCAAAAAUUAAUUUGGGUAAUUUAAAAAUUAUAAAAAAUUUAAUGGGGUAAAAUAAAAAAUUUAAGAAAAGAAAACUUGAUUCUCAACAUUCUUUAAUAGUUAAUUCAAAAAACAUACGAGCCUCAUAUAUUUCAUUCUCAUUCACACUUCUACUUUAACAAAUAAACGCUAUCAACCAUUCUCAUUUCAGAUUCUGAUUCAUCAAUCCUACAAAUAAACACACCUUUAAUAUGAAUUGAUUGAUUUUUAUUGAUUUUUAUAACCAAACCACAUCAACUUGAAUCAUUGGUGCCAUUUGGUCUUUUAGUGGGCAUCGAUUUUUUCUGUCCACCCUNNNNNNNNNNNNNNNNNNNNNNNNNNNNNNNNNNNNNNNNNNNNNNNNNNNNNNNNNNNNNNNNNNNNNNNNNNNNNNNNNNNNAUGGGUUGAAUAUCUCUAUAUUUUGUGUUUUUAUUUCUAUUUAUGUGCACUUUGUUAUUUAGUGAAUCUCAAUUAGUAACAAAUUACCCAUCAAAUAAUUUUUUCUAUUACAUCCAUUUUCAUCUCUUUAUUAUACAUAUAUAUUCUUUAAGUAAUAUGAUGAUAAUCCGACUUCUUUCACACCAAUACAAACGAGAUUGGAACCUCAUACUUUAAUACAUACUAUCAUAAAAAAUUUUACAAAUCGAACAACUAAGCACUCACAAGUUUUUGUUUCACUUACCUUGAAUAAUAUCUCAAGUAAAUGAAAUAUAUUUUUAAAAACCCUAAACUAUACAUGUCGUCAUUUUCGUGAAAAGAAUGUAUCAAAGCACAAUGAGGAUGCCAUUGGUGAUGCAAAUGAGAGGAGAGAUUCACACCAAACGCCUCUAUUUUGAUAAUAAGUGUUAAAAAUGAGAAUUUUCCAUCUCUUGUGCAUCAAUCAUUAGCAUUCGUCAUCACUAGUCGUUCAUGUUCGAAUUCUUUAGUAGCCUCAUUAAUCUGAUGUAGGAAGGUAAAUUAAUUUAUUUUAGGUAAUUUGGGAUUAUAGAAUAUUUAUUGUUUUAGGAAUUUUUAUUUUAGUUUAAGUCAAUUAUGGUAUGUGUCAUAGUCUUUUAUUUCUAUAAUAAUUGUGAUUUAGUUUUUCUUUUUAGGUUAACUUAGAAAAGUGAAUUUCCUCUAUUAUAACUUUGCCAUUGUUUUAAAAAAGUUCAGAUUCAAUUAUUCAAUAAAACUCCCCUUUUAUAAUUCCAUCUAGGAUUAUCUAUCAAAGAUUCAAAACUUCUCUUGUAGAGUCGUUUGGAUUAGAACGUCAUCUAAUCUCGCUUUAUGCAUUAUUAAAAAUCUCAUUAACCUCAUUCAGAAUCAUGCUUCGAUUAGAGCGUAACCUAAUCGCGUUGGCUCGGUCCAAUACUAAAACGAUAUCUAGUAUUUUUAUCUAAUCAAUCCCACUUCCGCUAUGCCUCGCCCCAUCAAUUGGUAUCAGAACAAUUCUGUGCGAAUCGUACAGCUUUCCUGGAUACCCCAUACCCCUCCAUACCAAAUCCACCGUUGAAAAAAAAAAAAUCAAAAAUCCCCAAAUUUUAAACCCUAACCGCCGCACCCCCACCACAGCCGCCGCCACUACAACCACACAACACCACUGUUUAGCCAGCCAACACAGCUGCCAACCUCGCCAGCCUCCGGCGACCAAACCCAAACCCAGCCCGUUCUCAACGCCGCCUACAACCACCGCGAAAAUACCCAAAUCCGCGCGACCUCAACCAUCCACCACCGUGAAAUCACCGCCUAUUUCCGUCAAUCGUUGCUGCUGUUGUAAUCCCCAACCACCGCCGAACAAAACCCGAUCAACCACCAUCCUUAAACACCCCCACAACUGCCGCACGAAAGCACUUAAACCUGCGGCUUCAUCACUCGAUCCGCCACCGUAAGCCACCCCACCAUCGAGCACCACCACCAAAAGAAUCUCCAUCCUCUGCCGAACAAAACCCGGCCAUCAACAUCACAAAUCGCCCAUAUUAACCAUCAGGCAAACAACCCUCAAACCCGCAAGCUUUACCUCUUCGAUCUACACCCACCACCGCGGAUCUGGCCAAUCCACAACCACCAUCGAGUUCCUCAUCACCAAAUCUUUCAGAUCCGAUACCCUCUGGUCCCAAUCACGGGCACCGACCGUUGGCCAUACCAAACCCGAGAGUUGAGCCUUAAUUACGAUUUUGCCAUUGUGUGGAAACUUGGCAAUAAAUGGCAAACUACCGUUAUUGCCCUAUCAUGUGCCGUUAUUAUCUGCAUACACUUAUUCGGAUAAAUUUCUUGAAUGAUUGGACAAGAUUCAUCACUGGUUUCUAUUUCGGCGUACUCCCAAAGAAAAGCAAGUAUCAUUUGUUGUUAGUAGAUUAAGCAUAAGUGCUUCAGAAUGGUGGGAUGAGUUGCAAACUUCUCGAAUUGACAAAGGCAAAUGCAAAGUUUGAUCAUGGAACCGUAUGAAGCGUAUUUUGCAAUCCGAGUUUAUCCCUCUUGAUUAUUGUUUGGUACAGCAAAGUACGAGAUCCAUUUCUUCUCGUGCUUAUGAGUUUGAACGAUUUUAUGGAUGCAAUUAUUACUAUGAGUCUGAAGAGAAUACAGUUACAAGAUUUAUUAAAGGGCUUGAUUUGCAUAUUCAAGAAAAGAUGCCUACAUACACUAUCUACAAUUUACAGCAUGCAAUUUAUUUAGCCAAGAAAAUCGAAUCGCAAAUUGAGUCACAACAUUAAAGAAAGUUUGAUGAUGUGAAUAAACAAAUUGACGAAAUCUAGAAUUUAAUCAAGGAAUUGCGUGUUUCUAUGAAAGUGCCUAGAGAUGUACCAAAAGUUCUCCUUUCGUUGAGGAAGAAGACUCGCGUGAGAUACCGCAGGAAAAUGUACAAUUUAUCAUUGAUUUGAAGUUUCAAUCUGACAAUUUGUGCGAGAAUGUGCAUGAUGUUUCCUUGGAGGACAAGAGCGAGAAUUUGCAUGAUGUUUCCUUGGAGGACAAGACGAGUGUUGAAGAUGAUGAAAUUUUUUUUCUCUUUGGGAUUUUUAAAGAAGAAGAACAAUCUCAUCUUGAUUUAAGCAGCGAGCCUAAUAGUAUGAUCGAGAUCGUGCCGCAAAAUCAAGUUGAAGAAGUUGAAAUGAUUGAAAUGGUUUUACCUAUUCACAUUGAAGACAAGAAGAUUGUGCUUGAAGAAGAUUUGAUUGAAAAUGUGAAAUUUAUUGGAGAGCGCAUUGAGCGGCAAUUGAGGAAGGGCAAGAGUUAUUUGAUCGUUGUUCGUUCUUGGAAGUCGUCAUCGGCUCAAAGAAUGUACAAGCGAAGGAAGUUGAUGAAGUUUGGAUACUUCAAAGUUUCGAGGAAGAUUGAUGAGCAAGGCUACAAGUUUGAAUUACAAGAUGAUUUGCUCCUACACUAUAAGUUGCAUCCUCCAGACUGUAUUCAAACUCGAGGACGAGUUUCUUUUAAGAGGGGGAGAAUGAUGUAGGAAGGUAAAUUAGGUUAUUUUAGGUAAUUUGGGAUUAUAGAAUAUUUAUUGUUUUAAGAAUUUCUAUUUUAGUUUAAGUCAAUUAUGGUAUGUGUCCUAGUCUUUUAUUUCUAUAAUAAUUGUGAUUUAGUUUCCCUUUUUAGGUUAACUUAGAGAAGUUGGUUUCUUCUAUUAUAAAUAGAGAAACCUUGUCAUUGUUUUAAAAAAGUUCAGAUUUAAUUAUUCAAUAAAACUCCCCUUUUAUAAUUACAUUUGGGAUUAUCUAUCAAAAUCUAUCUUGUAGAGUCGUUUGGAUUAGAGCGUCAUCUAAUCUCGCUUUAUGCGUUAUUAAAAAUCUCAUUGAGUCGUCUUGAUUAGAACGAUAUCUAAUCACGCUUCAAUUAAAGGGUAACUUAAUCGCGUUGGUUUAGUCCAAUACUAGAACGAUAUCUAGUGUUUUUAUCCAAUCAAUCCUACUUCCGCUAUGCCUCGCCCCUUCACCAUAUAAAUUAAAUUAUUUAAUGUGAAAUUAAAGAAUGUAGGGUGGUCCCCUCCCCCUGCUAUUUUUGGUUUAUUAUGUAAUAAUGCUUAUGGGAUUGUACACUCCCGUUUAGUGUUGCAUUAGCUCUUCGUGAGCCCUUCUUUAAUAAUAAAAAAAAAAUGUUGGGUGGGUGUAUAAUAAAAGAAGCGGGAGUUAUGUAAUAAAAAAAAAUUACUUAUUUGUAGAUUUGACUUGAGGAUAAAGGGGCAUGUGAGUGAUGUCAGGGUUGAGCUUAAAAAAGGCCCAUACGAGUGGUCUUCAUGGCUCAAAUACCUUACGUAGCCCACUUAUAAAAUUGGGCCUUCAAAAGAGUUUUAAGUCAACAACUGUUGAACUUGUUCAUUUUCAUCCUACCUUGUGACAUGUUUUGGUUUUUUUUUUUUUUGGUUAAUCUCUCUGAUUCUUUUUAGUUUUUUAUUUAUUUAUUUUUAAAUAGAAUUUUAUGCUAAUUAGUAUAUUAUGAAUAUUCCUAUUCAAAUAUGUACAUGGGUAAAGUGGAAUGCUUAACACUCGGUAACAAUGAAAAUAGUAAUAUUAGUAAUCAUUUGACAAGUUUCAAUUUAUAAUCUAAUAUGUAGCUUGGUGCUUAGGUUCGGAUGUUCAGAUGAAUUUAAAAUACAUAGUUAAAAGAUAAGAAAAAUAUGAACUAGAAUGCACUAUUCUUGUCUUUAGUGUAUCGAAGUUUAUAUCUUCUUUUUCUUUUUUAAUCUUUCAACUGCAUCUUGAUAAUUUUAAAAUAUGAACGUCAGCAAUUAAGCAUGACUCAUCAUAUGCUAUAUUAAUUUAAAUAUACAUUUUGCAUUAAAAAAUAAACAAUAAUAAAUUCUAGUUUGUAAUCAACCCUUCUAAUAAAAGACUUGUUUAAUAUAGUAGUAAGGAUCCUGCAACACCAUCAUUAUGAAUUUUAAUUUGACUUUUAAGAAUGGACAAAGAUCCUCUUUUAAUAAUUUUUUCCCCUAAUAUUUUCAAGUGAAAUAAGUGGUUAAGAUUGAAUUUUAAAAUUUGAUAUUGACAAUCAAGCCAAAUUUUUUUUCACUUUAUUUAGAAAUAAAUUUAUAAAUAUUGAAGGACUAAGAGAGAUUAAAAGAGAUUGAAAAAAAAAGGAGAGAAUUCUAAUCCUUGAAGAACAAACCCAAAUUCUCUAUCCUAUCAAAUGAAAUUCUAAUGCAAAAUAAAGAAAAAUGAUGGGUAAAAAUCAGUGCUCUAAAAGUGAGCGGAGAAUUGAUUCUUCUUCCUUUACUUUAUAAAGAGAUGGUGCUAAUAAUAAUAGGAAAAAAAACUAACACACCCCCAACGUUUAGACAAAAGGACAAAAACCCCCUAACGUUUCAAAAAAGACAUUUACACUCUCAUUCACUAACGGAAACAGUUACUUUUAACGGAAAUAGUAAUUUUAAUAUAUAAUUACCGUUAUUCCUUUCUAGCACAUAAAAAAUAAAUGUUAAUUGUCCAAUUUAUUCAUAUAUUGUUAAUAAAAUUAUAAAUAUACCCUCAUUACCCAAUUCCUCUAUCUAAAUUUUUAUCAAAUUCUCUCUUCAAGCCAAAUAAAUUUAAUCCAUUACCCAAGAAUAUAAAUAAAUAAAAUUAGUUAUUAAUGCCAUAAGAAUAACAAUUAAAAUUUAAAGUAGAUAAUUAACAAUUAAAAUGUCAAUAAUUUAAACUUGUAUAAUCAACAAAAUAAAAAAAGGCUGGUUACAACAAUAAUUACAAAACAUAUUAUUUUAAUUGUAUUAAAUAACAUAUCCAAUAGACAUAAAAAUUGAUAAUGAAUUAAAUUUAUUUGGCUUGAAAAGAGGAUUUGAUAAAAAUUUAAAUAGAGGAAUUGGGCAAUGAGGGUAUUGUUAGAGUGCAAUUUAUGCACUAGUUUUGCAUUGUUUACUUCCCUUAAUAUCGAUGUUUUGCAUUUAAUAAUAGUGAUUUACUUUUGUAGGUGCAAUUCUAUUGAUUGGUGAUAAAAUUGAGCUACAAGAUGAUGUUUAGGGAUGAUUGUUCCCUUGGAGAAAUUAUGAGCGGCAGAAGAACUUUGUUGAUAAGGCGUAGGCGCGUGCUGUCAAUUGCGGACCUGCAGUUUUUAGUUUAACGUGUUUUAUAUUUUGGCUAUUUUUGUAAUUACGAAUUUAAUAUUUUAGAUAUUAGUAUUUUAUUUUAAAUAGAACUCUAAAAGAGAAGAGAGAGAGAGUAUUUAAGGGAGGAAUCUAUUGUGAAAAAGGGGGAUUUUUGGAUUGGAGAAAAAGAAAGAAACCCUAGAUCUUAAUUUUUCUCUUCUCUCUAUGAAGAACUAAACCUAUUUUUCUAGUUGAAGGAUAAUGAAGCUUUGAUUCAUCACUACUGUGAGAUCUUUCUUGUGCUUUAAUUGUUUUAUUGCUUUUUGGGUAUUUGUUUAUUCUCUGAAUUAUUUUUAUGAUUAUGUUUGUUAAUUAGGUAAUUGGCCACUAUUUAAUUAUCAACUUAAUCUAUUGUCAAUUAAAGGAUUCAUCGUAUAAAGAAUUUAAUGUUUGUGACAAAUAACAUAGCAGAGAGUUGUGUUGUGAGAAUAAACAAUCUAAUUUAAAUGAAUCAUCAUAUGUGUUGAUUAUGAUUUGGGUCUCUCUGGUUUUUCAGGCUGUCAAUUGAUUAAAUCCUAUGAUCGUAUCUAGAGUUGUCUAUUGAUUAGGGAAAUAACCAACGGUCGUACCUUGGUUAUCCACUAGUUAAGGAGAGAUUGGUUAUUAGAGGGUCUCAGUAGCUAUAACCGGUCUAUUCAUGAGUAAUAAUAAUCUAUAUUUGAAUCAAUGAUCAGUAGUCGAAUCAAGCUGAGUUAAUUCCUUCAACCAGAGCUUUCUCCAAUUUGAAUUACAACUUUAAUUUGCAUUCUUGUUAUUUUUAAUUUGAUUUUUAUUAUUGUCAACAAUUCCCCCAUUUUACAUUUUACGUUUCAAAAGGAUUUAAAUAAUUACCGAUCUCUGUGGACACGACCCUACUCAAUCACUAUACACAAUUUAUUUAGAGUAGGAAUUUAUUUUUGUUGUUAUUUUAAUUGUAUUAAAUAACAUAUCCAAUAGACAUAAAAAUUGAUAAUAGAUUAAAUUUAUUUGGCUUGAAAAGAGAAUUUGAUAAAAAUUUAAAUAGAGGAAUUGGGCAAUGAGGGUAUAUUUGUAAUUUUAUUAACAAUAUAUGGACAAAUUACAUAAUUAACAAUUAAUUUUUUAUGUGUUAGAAGGGUAUAAUGGUAAUUAUAUAUUAAAAUUAUUAUUUCUAUUAAAAGUAACUGUUUCCGUUAGUGAAUGAGAGUGUAAAUAUUUUUUUCGAAACAUUAAGGGUUUUGUCUAAACGUUGAGGGUGUGUUUGUCAUUUUCCCAUAAUAAUAUACUUAAACAAAGUUGUAGUAGGUGAAAUACUAACUAGGCAACCCAAGAUGGGGGGGGGGUGAAUUGGAAUUUUAAAAAUUAUCCUAGGCAAGCCACACAACAAUUUAAUCUAAUGCCUUGAUAAAUUCGAAAACAAUAAAUUUAAUAAAAGCACAAUAAUAAAUGAGUAAGGGAAGAGAAAGCAAACUCAAGGAUUUUUAAGUGGUUCAGCAAUCCCCGCCUACGUCCACGCCUCCAAGCACACCGGGCUUGAGGAUUUCACUAUCCAAGCCUUUCCAAGCCUUCAAACGUUUACAAUUGACUUCAAGGUGUCAAUAAACCUUUACAACAAGAGAUUAUCUCUCCAAUCUCUUCACUCCAAGUGUUUCUCACACUUGUACUCUCACAAUUUGAUGAGAAAUAAAAAAUACAACAAUCAAACUCUCUUUAAGAGUGGAUAUACAAAUUGAAGAACAAAGAUGAUUUAAUGAAUGAUGAUUCACGAAAUUGAAGCUCAAUAUAUGUUGUGUGCACUUGUUUUUGCUUGCUUAGAUUUCCAAAAAUGAAUUGGUUUUGAGUUUAUAUAGUUUGAGCUCAAAAACUAGCCGUUAUGCACAUUUUGGUCGUAACCGGAUUGCCGGUUAUGGACAUCCAGAAUUUCGCUUAAUGUUACCGUUACAGCCACAAUUUUGAAUUUUUGAACAUCCGGAUUGCCGCUUUGUCAAAUCCGGAUUUCCGCUUAUGCUCAGUAGCUUACUGCCCAACAAUCGAAUUUCCGUUUGUCAGGAUCCGGUUAGCCGCUUUCAAUUCGGAUAGAUUCUGCCUAAAAUCCGGACUUUCGUUUGUCAGAAUCCGGAUAGCCGCUUGCUACAGUAACUACUAUAGUGAAAUUUUCCUAAAUUUACAGUGAAACUUUAUAAAACUUUAUAAAAUUGUUAGAAGGGUAUAAUGGUAAUUAUAUAUUAAAAUUUACAAUUUGACCCCAAAAUUUUAUAAAAUUUACAGUUUGACCCUAAAACUUUAUAAAACUAUAGUGUGACCCAAAACGUUAUGAAAUUUUUUAAAAAGGUCCAAUUUCAGAAUUUUAGAAUAAUGCUUUGUCAAUCCCACAACUUUAUGAAAUUAUGACUUCACCCAAACUAUGUGAAAUUAUAGAAUUACCCAAAAUAUUUAAAUAGUUUCAAAUAGGUCCAAAUCUGAAAUUUCAAGCAAUAUUUGUUUAUUUCAAAGUUUUCAAAAUUCUUUCAAUUAAACCAUAAACUUUGAAAAACAACCAAUUUCAUAAAAUCAUUUUUCCAUUAAAUAUGAAACAUUUAUAAUGUGAAAAUAAUGAUUUAUUUAAAAAGAAUAAAAACAAUUAAUUUCAUAAAAUCAUUUUUCCAUUAAAUAUAAAAUAUUUAUAAUGUGAAAAUAAUGAUUUAAAAGAAUAUUAAAUAAUUUGGGCUUAAAAGAUUUAUCAUUCUUAAUCUUGUUUGUUAUCAUCAAAAUCAACAUUAUGAAAACAUAUAUGUUAACGGUAGAGAAUAAACAUAGCAUGCUAAAGCCUAAUAAUAACUAAUAAUGGGAAGGGAUGCAGCCUGCCGUAGCAUGAAAUUGAAAUCAGUCUAAUCAGGCUAAUCAAUAUCUUGUGUGGUAGUCUUUACACCUUCAUUCCAUCUUUUAUUUGCUUACUUUUCCUAUGAAGAAAAAAAAAAAAGGAAAAAAGGCAGAUUUUUAGCUACCAAUCAAAUUCAACACCCCCGGUACCUUUCGAGAGAAGUGGACAUCUUUAACAAUUUGGUGGCUUUUUUUUUAAUAUUUGAAUACACUUAAAGUAAUCUGAAUUAUAAAUAAAGUUCAAUGUCUGAAUUUAAAUAAUAUAUUUUUUAAAAUUGUUAAAAAUAAGUAUUAAAAUAUUUUUAAUUUAAAAAAUCCGAAAACUAUUAUUUUUACAUUUGUGCCCUUAUAAAUGUGAAACAAAUAAUCACACAUAUUAAAGAAUACAAAUAAAAUAAUAUAUUAUGAACACAAAAAAAUCAACUCAAUUGAUUACAAUUCUUUAAUAUUCUUAAUUAGUACAUGUUAAUUGAUUUUAUUGUAAUUUACGAUGUUUUUAUAUUGUUCAUAAAAAUAUAUGAAGAUAAUAAUGCUAAUUUGAAGAAAAAAAAAGAUAAAAUAAUAAUAGUCUAUCAUUACAUCAACACAAGUUAUUGAGAUAGAUAAUAAUGUUAAUUAUUAAAUUUUAUUCAAGUAAGGAAGAAAAUCGAUUAAUUAAAUUGGGAUAUUUCGGAGAAUAUCUUUUAAUGAUUAUCAUUAAGACUUUUUAGAUCAAGCAAAAAGCUAAAAAAAUUAAUUUAAUAACUUAAUGAUUUAAUGACUGAAAAUUUUUGUUAAGUUGAAAAAACAAACGGACUUAAUGAUUUAAUUGAUUGAAUUUACGUUAAUUAAGCCAUUAAGUAAAAAAAAACAAACAGGCCCCUCUUUAGCUUUGCUUUGCGAGUGGUGUUGUUUACAGCACUCAAAAUCUUGAUAAAACCCCUCUUUUAAAUUUACAAUUGUAACCUCAAUGGAAAAUUAUAAAUGACAUUAAAAGACAAAGACAGGAACUCAUCUGUGCUCAAUUCUUCAUAAUCUUCUAUCACAAAUACAUGUACAUUAAUAUUUGGCUAAGAUUUAAUUAGGUUUAUAUUCUUAUCUAAUAACUAUCAAUUAUAUUUCUAAAACAUUAGCAAAAAGUUCAAUUCAAUACUGAAUUUAAAUCCUAUUAUUACGUGUGGCCUUUGCAGUACUUUAUAAGUUUUGGUUGGUCUCUUCAAGAACUAUUACAUAGUUUAUGAUUUUAUCUCUUGUUUGGUUGUUGAUGUUUUUUUAAUUUUGAUAAUACAUGUAACUUGCAAGUAGUUUGAGGUUUUUUUUUUUUUUUUUUUCAUUUGCACAAUGAUCUAAAAGAAUAAAAAAAUGAAAAAGGUCAAGAGGAAAGUUAGGUAUCCCAAUAUUCAUGUCCUAAAGUAAGUCUCAACUAAUAUAAUGUUCAUCCAUUGAAUGAUAGUUAAAUAAAUUUAGAAGUUAUGAAUUAUAUUAUUUAAUAAAUGAGUGACACAUGAUAUUUGGAUUUAAGUUGAGAUUCAAAUAUUGGGAUAUCUAAUAUUAUUGAAAACUUAAUACAGUAACACUGGCCAAGUUUGAAUAUUCAUCACACCCAAGUAACAGACAAAUUGAAUACAUACCUCAAGAAGAUCCAACAAUAAUACAUGUCAUGCUCUUAUUUUAUCAUAAGUGGCUAGUAUAAUUAAUGAAAGUAGCAGUGUACCAUACUUUCUGAUUUCUCAAUCUUGAUUCUUCUUCCAUACAGCCGGCUUGUCAGAAGGAUAAGGGAAAUUUUUCAGAUUGAAGCAACGACUAACCUCUGCAUAACGUAGUAUAGGCAUAUCCUUCAGCAAAACAUUCCAAUCAAGAAUUAAGUUUGGCAUGAACUUUAAACAUAGACCCUCAAGGACCCAUGUGGUGCCAUUGCUAUCCUGAUCAGAUUCAGAACUGCUUUCGAAGUUGCUGAUGUCUCCAUCCUCAAGACAGAGAUAUUGCAGGCUUGAGAGGUGCUUAAGAUUAAUCCAUUUUGGCAGAAUUUCGUGGCGGUAUCGCCUGAGGUAAAGCUCCUGAAGGCUCGGAGGAGGCAAAAGCCUAUCCAACAUCUGUGAUACAUGUUUUUCUUUGCAAUCCUCUGCAUCAAUAGCUAAAAUUUUGAGUUUCUCGAGCUGUGAUAAGACAUUCCAUUCAUCUUCCGAGAUUUCACUCUCAUUAUUUAUGGACAUUCGUAGAACUCUUAGCUGCUUCAGUCCCAGCAGGGCGUUAAGUCGACAGCCUUGUGUGUUAGACUGACUCGCCACCCGAAAUCCAGACAGCUCCUGGAGAUAAAUUAGCUUCUCGAGUCCACGAGGUAGAUACUGGAGAGGACAAGAUCCGAGGUCCAAGAUGAUCAACUUCUUCAAACUAGUAAUUGAUGGAUGUAGUUUGGUGCACCUCCUCAGAACAAGUAUUUGGAGAUUACGAAGCUUUUGAAUUGAAGAUGGGAGCUCAAUAUUGCCUGCAACUCCGCUUAAGUUGAGACAUGCAAGGCGUUUAAGUGAAGAGAUCUUAUCCAAUAGAUCCUCAACAUUAAUUUGAUCAAGCUUACAGUAUGAGAAAUCCAGCACCCUCAGUGACAUGAGCGAUUUCACAUUCCAAAGGGAAACUGGAGUGCUUGAUUGCAGUAUCAAUGCCCUGAGCCUUGAACUUUUUUUCAGGGAUUUUGGAUCCAUGUCACUGUUGAAACCGAACCAUCGCGAGUCUUGUGUCAAUUUCUGCCUGCCUUCUUCAUCAAAGCUGCAAAAAGCCUCAUCUUUUGCAAUCUGAAUGGUCAUAUCCCUGACCAGAUCGUGCAUCUUGCAACUAUAGACCCUGCCAUCAUAGCCUCUUCGAUGCACAACUUCAACCAAGCAUCUGCUUACUAGCUCUGAAAGAUAAUCAAAGCCUAAUUCCGUAGCAGUCCGAUUGUCCCUGCCCCGGAUGAGUCCUUCUCCCACCCACCAAUGUACCAUCUGUUCACCACUUAUCUCAAAGUCGUCGGGAUAAACAGAGAAACACAAGAGGCACUGCUUUAGAUGUGUGGGGAGUUCAUCAUAGCUCAGUCGUAGAGAAGCCACCACUGAAUUGUUCUCUCUUUCGGUUGUCAAAUAUACAUGAAAAUCAUCAUUGAUUUUAUUCCACUCACUAAGGGAAUGGACUUUUGGAGCAAGCAAGCCUCCUAUUGUCUUGAUUGCCAGCGGUAGUCCCCCGCAUUUCUUCAAGAUCUCUCUACCUUUUUUUUCAAACUCCUUAUUGGGGCAUUUUCCCUUGCCCGUUAAAAAUGCAUGCUUGCAGAGUAAUGACCAACUCUCCUCUUCAUUUAAAAUUUUUGGGCGAUGAAUUCUUGACUCAUCAACUCCCAUACUGUUGACAACGGUUUCAUUUCUAGAUGUGAUGAUAACGAAGCAUCUUUUUUCAGUCGGAUAUAAAUUCUUCCACCAAUCUAGAUUCAUUCUCCACACAUCAUCCAUUACAAUGAGACAGGUCUUGUCACUGAGCCUCUGUUGAAUUUUGUGCAGCAAAUGACUUUCUUCAAUUCCCGAUUCAUCCUCUCCCAGCUGUUUCAACAUGGCCCUCAUGACUCGUUCCUCGCUGAAAUUCUGAGAAACUGGCACCCAUAUCCUCUUCUCAAGGUAUGCAACCAUCUCUCUAUCAUUGAAUAUCUUUUGGGCAAUGGUGGUUUUGCCUAAACCACCCAUACCCACAAUACCGAUUUGCUGAAGCUUCUCAUUACUGCUAAGGAUCCAUCCUUUAAUCUUUUCCAAGUCCUUCUCCAAACCGAUUAUUUCAGAUGGUUCCUGGUCCUCUGGGGAAUAUUUAAAUAUUUGGUAUGAUGAAUUAUUGGGCCCCUGCUGGAUGAUUGGCUGUUCUGCUCUUCCAUACACCCCCAAGCUAGACUCCAUUUUCUCAAUCCGUGAAUUGAUAUGCUUCAAAUCCUUGCCUGUUUGGUAUAUGAAAAACAAGUCACGAAGUGAGAACCUGUGGCAAAACCCAUCUUUCCGAUAUUCAUCUCUAAUUUGGCAAUCCGUCAUUAUGUCAUCAGCUUCAUAAAUUAUUUUUCUCAGGUUAGGCAAGAUCUUCUGCAUGAACUCCCCCCGAGUUUUCUGCUUAUCAGUGCAGGAGAUGAAGGCAGUCAUUAGCUCAAGCUUUGUCUUCAUUGCCUCCAGCUGAUCUUUAAAAUCAAGUGCGUACUGAGCUUGAGUCAGCAAAGCAGAAAACACUUUCUCUAUCAAUGUCCCAAUCAUCGCCUCUGUCGCUUUCGACGCCGCCAUAGCCUCGGGCAAAUGUUCCCUGUUAAUUUCAUGUUCAUUAUCAUCUCAGUAAAGUAUACAUCUUAUGAGCUCGUAUGGGCUUCUGCUACAACCAUACAAUCAUGACACUACUAGGAGGGACAAGACAAAAUAUAUAAUGGAUUCAUCUCACUUCCAUGGGACUUGACAGAACAUCUAUCAGAAUAGUGAAGCCACCCAACAACAUUGAUCAGAGUAAAAUUGUGUCAUAUGCGUGAAUCGACAGAAUGAUACUAGUCAGAACAUAAUGAUGUAUCGAACAAAAAACUGAGAAUUGAAGCUAAGGUCUAGCUCAAAACUGAGAAGUGAAGCUAAGGUCUAGCUCACUUACUGAGAAGUGAAGCUAAGGUCUAGCUCACUUUCUUAGGACUCAGGUCUUACGUUCGAGCUUCAAUAGAACAAGUACAAUAAUUAAUUGCUAAGGUCGCUCCAGUAGUAAAAGCGACUUUCCUAAGACUCAGGUCUUAGCUUCGAGCUUCAAUAGAACAAGCUACGAAUUGGUUCUCUGCGUAACCAAGGAUCCAAUACAAUAAUUUAUUGAAAAUAUAUUUAUCAUAACUUUAAAAUUAAGUGAUACGACGGCAAAUAUUAACUUGAUAAAAGAUCAUCAUCAACCAUCAAAUUCUAUAAACAAGUUUAGAAAUUUUCAUGUUUAAAUUCACAUCAAUCAGAGAUUUAGCAAUGGCAUGGGUGAAUCAUAAAAGGGUUUUAAGCAGAAGCACUUACUGGAAUCCUGAAAGUGUGUGUAUCUAUAUAGCUUGGAAGGGCUGAACAGAGAGUAUGCUGGAACCUGAAACCCAAAAAACAAAUUGAGUUUUAACAGUCAGAGUAGACUGUUCAGCUGAAUAUAACAGAGUACCAUGUAAACAAAUUAUUUUUAUUUUUACUUGUAAUUCCUAGCUGGCUGUUCAACGUUUCAGUUCGCUUAAUCACUCACUAGCUCCUAUCUGGCUCUGCUAAUUUGAUUUCUAUUGCCGAUAUUUAUUAUAUAGGAGAAGAGAUGCCAGAAUUGAUCAAAUAACAAGCCACCUGCGCUUUGUAUUUUGAGGGUACAAGAAAAGAAGGUGAAAAAAAAUAUUUUGACUGAUUAAUUAAAGUUGAAUUGGUUAAAGUUGAAAGCUGUUGGAAUUUGGAGAUAAGAAGCAUUUAUAUCCUCUUCUCUUCACAACAAUCAAAUUUUGUUUAAUUAAAUAUCAUAACAAUUAUAUUUUUAAUUUUAACAUAUUAUAAAUUUAUGAUUUGAAUGAGACUACAUAGUUGCAUAAGAAUUUUAAGAAAAAAUAUUAUCUUAGUAGUUUAUGGAAAUCAUUAAUUUAGACCUUUAGCCCCAGUUGGUACUAUGUAAAAUUAUUAUAUAAUAGAGUUUAUUAACUUAUCUGAGUAUUAAAUUGUAGUGGAUUUACUAUAUUAACCUAAGUGGUGAUCUUAUUUGCAGUACUAGAGAAGUUUUGAUGGUAUAGUUAAUGGGACAAAGAAGAAUUGCAGUAAAAAGAGUGCGUGAAAAAAAAAUCAAAAUAAUAAUGAUUUUAAAUUUUCUAAUUUAUUUCUUACCUAAUUAAGGAUAAUUUUGGGUUCACAGUAAAAUAUGUAGGGAUAUAUAUGAAAUUAUAUUGAACAUAAAAUUGAUUCUCAAAGUUAAAUUUUGAAAAACUACUAUCUCCUCGCUUUUCAAAAUCAACUAUAAUAUAGUAUACAAUUAUUUUGUCAAAAGUGAUUUUUAAGAAAAGUUAUCAAACAGUAAAGUUAACUUUUAAUUUUAAAAAUUAUUUUUGAGCCUUCUAACAGAAAUUUCAAACAAAUCCCAAAUAUUUCUAAAUAACCAAGUAUAACAUUACUUAUAAAUAAAUUGAAGUGGUAGGUUAUUCUGUCCCAACAGUCAUUUCAAGGCCAGUAUAUCACAUACAAGCAGAAGGUUCUGUAUCGAUUCCUCUCAAUAGUUUGCUUAUCAAACAAAGAAGAACUUUUUCAAAAAGCAAAAGAAAAAAAAAGAAGACUGAUAAAAUCCUGAGAAUAUAGUCUUUUUCUUUGCAGUUGAAUUCGUAUUCAAAGGGCCCGAUAAAGCCUGAAAAUAUUAAUUGAUACUAUUCUUGUUGAAUUUUUAACAGGCAUGAAGAACAAUUAUAGGCUGGCAUUAUUGUUGUAACCCAAAAUGAAGAGAAUCAAAAUAAAACAAGAAAAGGGAAACUGCUUUAUUCACAAUAGGAAAAUAAAAGUACAUAUAUUCGUCACAAAAGUCAAAAUCAAUAUUUGUUUUAGAUAUUUCUGUCAAAAAGAAGAAUAAAUAAAGAGGUUUAAAAGUUUAAUGAUUAUUCUCGGUCGAAGCAAGGAGUGGGUAUGUUCGAAUUAAAAGUUUCAAUUAGAUUAAAUAUGAAAUUGAUUCUCAAAACAAAAUUUUAUACUGUUUCCAAAUUCUUCAAACAGUUUUAGUUUACUGACCAUUUGAGUUCAAGAGAUUAAAAAAAUUAAUUUUCGUUUUGUGCACCCCCUCUAUCUUUUACGGGUGGGGUAAAAUUUUGAACAAAGUCUAUAGAAUUUGUGGCUUUGUUACACACACGGCCAGAUUUUGGUCCGAUUUUGCUGUUUAAGCCUUCAAAUGAUCUUUAUUUAUUUAUUUAAGAAAUUUUAAGAAUGUUUUCAUUGAUUUUUUUUAUCUUCCGUCUGGUUUUUGGAAUUAAGGAUACUUUGUUUCAUUUAUUUUAUUUUUAAUUUAUGGUAGGUUAGUAGUAAUCUGAUAUUAAAAAUUCGUGUUAUUGCAUUCUUGAAUGUUUUCAUUGAUGGUUUAUAUAAAGGUAAUCUAGGUAGCUCAAUUUGUGGUGGUGUUUUUUGAGAUUACACGGGAUCUUUUUAGGUGCUUUUGGUCUUUCUUUAGGCAUUAACACUGCCUACUUUGCUGAAAUUAUGGCAGCUACGUUAGCUACUGAAUUUGCUCAUGACAAGGGUUGGUAUUGUCUUUGGCUAGAAAGCGACUCUAUGUUAGUCAUUCAUCUUUCUUCCAAUCCUUCGCUCAAUCCUCCAUGGGGUAUCCGUAACAGAUGGUUGAAUUGUUGUAAUCUCAUCAAUUCUAUGGCGUUUAGAUUCUCUCAUAUCUUCUGAGAAACUAACUAUGUGGCUGAUCAUUUAACCAACUUGGGUCUUAUUUGUGAUUCUCUCACUUGGUGGCAGACUCCGCCUUUAGAGAAUUUGUGGUUACUUUCUCAUGAUGCGAAUGAGUUUCUAAAAUAUCAUUUUAUAUGGUUACCUCUUUUGGUUUAACUUCAUACUUUUUUCUUUUUUCUACUUUAACUUCUUACAAAUUUUAAGGAAUAAAACUCAUUAUGUCCCCUCUGGACAGUUGUAAUUCCUUUCUUUUAUUUUUUUUAUUAAUUAAUUCAGUUUAUAAAAAAAAGAAAAUUGACCAGUAUUAUUACUCUAUGUAUUAGCAUUAAAUCACACAUUAUUAACGAAGUAAAAAUGAUAUGACAGAUCCAAUUUUAAUAGGUUUACCAAGUUCAAUUAAAGGCGGAUUAAACAAAUUAAUGUGCAAAAAUAAAACAAACAAGAGAAUUUUUACAUGGUUUAGGAUUCAAAUCCCUGCAUCCAUGAUGCCACAUUUAGAUAUCAAAUAAUUCACUAGGUUCAAGAGAUUACAAACUAUUGGAAUCUUACACGGUCUGAGACACCCUCUAGUGAUUGUGGCCACCUUGUCAUAACCUAACCAAGUGACCACUUUGUGUGCACCACAUGACUUUUGCUUCCUCCCCCGAGCAAGACUUCUUAGUCAAUGAUGUGUCACCUCUCUGUAAAUUCCCUCUACUGUGAACAUGUGACCCUUCUCGUGAAAAGACUAGAGACAAUGUCUCCCAAAUUAAAGAAUGAUCACAAGGUUGUAGCCUCUGAAGUAGAAUCCUUUUAGUAAAAUAUAUGAAUGACUCACCUUUAUAUAGUGACAAACAAAUCAUGUGUAAUGAAGAGUCUAAAUUUUUUUCCUUUGAUAACUCCCAAAGCCUUUAGAUGUAUAAGGAACUCUUCACGAUAAUAUAACAAUAUUAUCUCUUCAAUAUCUGUUUAUCAUCUGCUUUAAAUCAAAACAAUUUAAUCUCAAUCUUCAAUGAUCACGCCAAUUGUAAUUUCCAUCUCAAGGAAAAUUGCUUGCUUGAUCUUGAUAGAUAACAUCUAUGUAGAGAUUGAUUUAUCUUCAACUACUUUGACCUUGUUGUCCGCAUGUGAAGUAACGCCAUGUCUUCCAUCUUCUCUAUGGUUCACGCCAACUUCAUCAUAUAAGUUUGCCUUAUGCGUUUCCCUCAUGCUAAAAUAUCUCUGUAUAGACUAAUGUGGACCUCACAUACAUAUAAUAUGUAAAAUCCUAAUUUGCCUGUAUUUGCCGUCGUUCCAAGGCACUGUUGUAAUACUUGAGACAAACUAAAUUACGUAGGUAUUAAAAUAUUAAUGAAGACUCAAUGAUGUGUACAAUGUGGAUGGCAACGUACAAAUAUUAAAUGGAUGUUGUUUAGAAAAACCAACAUCCAUACAAUGAAAUUCCUUUUUUUUUUCCCCCCAAAAACUGAAUAUUGAAACUGAUUCAAUUUCAAUCACCCGCCCUAAAAGUUGCAUGACAGCUAGAACAGAUCCAAGAGCACAAAAAGUCUGCGAAUUAAAGGACCAGAAAAUUGGAGAAUUACUUUAUCGUAGCAUCUUUCUUUUCCUUUAAUGGAGUGAAUAACGAAUCGUGUAAUAUGGGAAUUAUUUAAGAAUCUAAAUAGAAACAAUCUGUCACCACUGAUACUUGCUGGAUUAUAUUAGUGCCAUUCCUGAAGUUUGAAGAGCUUUAGAGCCACGAAUCUAAUCUUCAUGAAAUUUUUUUUUUUGGGGAUAAGCUGCAUGGAAAUUUCAAGAAAUCGCUGGGUGCGAAAAACAAGUGGAAAACAUUUAAGACCAAUGCGUGGUUAAAACUUAACACACCACCUGAGAUCCGUGUCUUCCUUCAGAAGGAUGCUUCCCAAUCCCUUUAAAAUCGCGUUAGUUAAUUCGGUGCUUAAUGUUUUGUUGACUUUUAUUUUUUUAAUUGAGAGGCUUGGCUUUCUUUUAAAGUCUCAACUCCUUGUUUUUAUUUUACUCUUUUCUUAGUUUUAUUUUAAGUUUCUUCUCGACAUUGUCGAGGACCAUUUAAAGAAAAAAAAACUACAUGUAUGUCGGUUCAGUUAAUCAGGUAUGUGUAUAUCGUUUUAUAAAAAGAUUCCGCACUUGAACUAAAAUUUUAUAAAUUUGAAACUAUAAUUUUUAUUUAAAAAAAUCUAAAAUUUUAUUAAUGACAUAAGAAAUUAGUUUUUUUAAACCUUAUUUAUCAUAAGACUCCAAUAAUAACUUGAACUUAAUAUCGGGUUACUAUUACAUGAUAAUCUACCGUGCAUAAAUUAAAGAUAAAAUAAAUGAAGCAAAGGACCCUUAAUCCAACAAUCAGAACAUAUAAAUCAAUGAAAACGUUCUAAAAAUUUCUGAAAUAAAGAAAUAAAGAUAAUUUGAAGGCUUAAACAGCAAAAUUCGACAAAAAUCUGGCCACAUUUAAACAAAGCCACAAAUUCUUUACAUUUCGUUCAAAACUUGAAACAAAAUAUCAUGGAGGGUCUGGUUAACAUAUUACCCGGCCACAUAUCCUCGAUCAAAUGGAAAUAGAUGCCAACACAUCCACACUUUGCUUUGACUGACCUACAAUUAAUUAUUAUAAUUUUACACUCCUUUUCUUUUUUUAUUUUUGAAGGAUAUGUAUAUAUAUAUAGGGGAUCCUGAGCUUUGCUAAAGUAUUAGAAAUCCAUUAAGGCACAUAGUUUAAUAAUAUAAUGGCACUAUACCGUUAAAUCAUAUGACUUAAUAAUUUUUUCUAAUUUUAACAAAAUUUAAGAUCUUGGACCAGAUCAGUACAUAUCUAGUAUCCUGAAUUAAAAAACACACACAUACAGAGACACGGUAUAUAUAUAUAUCCAUGGAAAGAGAAGGCUUUAUAAGCAAAAAACACCUAAUUAAGGAGACGUAAUGAAUCUUAACCCUACAGAGAAGGUUAAGUACAAGGCAACGAAAAAUAAAUUCGAAAACAAAAGUCAUGCAUGUGAAGUACAAGAAAGUAAAAAGCAAUGCAAACAUAUAUCUAGGGAACCGCCAUUAGCAUCUUUGUUGUGAAGAAGAAAGAGAAAGAGAGGAAGACAAGUAAACGUGCUUCUUAUCCCCAAUAGCUUUCGACUUUAAUCAAUCACAAAUAUCUUUAAACUUUAAUCAUCCCUUUAACAAAUACUUUUCAAUUACCCAAAUAGAUUCGAUUUUAUUUAAUCCAUCACAACGUUUUUCACCCUGUUUUCUUUUUUUCCUUUUUCCUUUUCUGAAUUCGAUAAUUACUCUUGCACCCUCAAAAUACAAAGCACGGGUGGCGUGUUAUUUAAUCAAGACUGGCAUCUCUUCUCCUGUAUAAAAAUAUCGGCGAUAGAAAUGAUCAAAUUAGCGCAGCCAGACAGGAGCUAGCUAGUGAGUGAGUGAGCGAACUGAAAGUUUAGAACAGCCAGCUAGGAAUUAAAAGUUAAAAAUAAAUAAAAUAAAAUGGAUGAACGUUCUGCUGGGCAUCGGGUGGUUCUAAUUUCUAAGACUGUUUUCUUACUAAUUUUGUUUCUUCUUUGUCAACUUGGCUCCGAGUUCAAAUUUCAGAGUACUGCUGAAAAUGAUACUAAAGUAGGGGAUCUACCUGCUCAUGAAGGUAAUAUAUGCUAAUAAUUCUUUAUAUCUCGAGUAAAUUUCAUAAUUUUAAAGGGUUUUUGGUUCUCUAGCAUGCGGUUUGCAUUAUUAUAUACAUAUAAGUACAUAAGAAUUAAUUAAUUCUUUGAAUCAGAUGUCUGAAUUUUUAAUAUACAUAUAUAGUCGUAUAUACGCAUGAUCAGUUUACAACAUAUAUAUAUAUAUAUAGAUGUAAUUUACAAAAAAAGAAUCUCUUACUUGAGUAGAUAUAAGUUAAAAGAUUAAAAAAAAACUCUAUUAUAGUGUAUUUUGUCUUAUAGUAGAUUGAAAAUAUGUGUUUCUUCGUCUUUUAACUUAUCUCUUAUAUUAUGAAUUCCCAUAUUAUAUAUAUAUAUAUAUAUUUAUAUAUGAUCACUAAUUAUCAGGUGCGCAUAAAUUCUCUGUAUUGAGAAUUGCUAAAAGUUAAAACAAACGAAAUUAUAAUUAGAUAGCAAAUUCGAUAAUGCAUGCAACUUUUAUAAAUUAAUUAAGAGUUGAACGAAUGUUUUUGUCUUGUAGCUAUAUAGCUGGCAUAGAUCCAUUUGCUCAUGAUCAGUUUAACAACAUCUCUUGUCGGAAAUAUUAUUGGCAGUGGCCGGUCUCCCGGACAUGCUGUCCAGUUUGCAGUGGAGGCUACAACUACCUAAAUUGAGUUCAUAUUGCCGUGAGAAGCCAGAUCUUAGUCUCAAUAUUAUCAUCACUUACCCCGUCGAUAAAGGGACCCCGCACAUCUCCGAAAUGUAUAUGUUCCAACUCUAAUCUAAUUACUUGCCUAGACAGUCAUAACAAAAGCAAGGUUGAUUUCCAUUAUUAACUGCAUGUUAAUCAUUUUGUAUACAGAACCAUGGACAGUUUAGCCUUAACUGGAAUAAUCUCAGAACAUGUGGCUGCUCUGACACACCUGCAGAAACUGUAUGUACAAUUAAUUAAUUAAUUAAUUCAAUGAUCAAUCAUUUUGCAUAAGCUUUUAUAACUAAAUUUAAUAAAUUAAACAACUAUAUAUAUAUAUAUAUCGUCGUAAGCUUGGCUCUUGCCUUAAUUAAUACAUGCAUAUAUAUUUGAUAUGGUUUGAUGCAUGUCAAAACUCAACAGUGAUCUAUCCGUCAACACAAUUCAUGGUUCCAUUCCUGACCAGAUUGGGCAAUUAGAUCAGCUUAUCACUCUGUAAGUCCUCACUUGUCGCAAGUAAUUCAAUUAUAGCUCCUUUUUUCUUUUUCUUUUUCUUUUUCUCUUUCCUUUUCUUCUAAUACACUGGAUUUGUGUGAUGAGUAGAGAUUUAUCAUACAAUCAAUUAACUGGGACCAUACCAACAAGCUUGGGGAAUUUGAGGAACCUAGAAGUACUGUGAGUCUUUUUAUUAGUUACUACGAUCAUUGAGUUAAUGGUGCAUUUACUUGUUAGUAAUUGGAAUGAAUUGGAAUGGGAAUCGGUUGGAAUGUGAAUGAGAUGGAAUGAGAAUGAAGAAUGAGAAUCAGAAUAAGUUGUUACUUGAGCUGUAGGAAUUGAAUUCGGAAUGGACUGAAAUACCAUUAAUGUGUUUAUUUUAUCUUGGAAUUGGAAUCGGAAUAAGCUGAAUUAUUUUAAUUUAUUAAAAUACCCUUUAUUAUUAUUAUUUAUGAUUUUUAUUCUUAUAAAAAUGAUUGUUAAUAAUAAUAAUAAUAGUAAAAAUAAUAUCAUUAAUAAUUUAUUAAAAUAACUUUUGUUAUUUAUUGUCAUUUGAUGAUGAUGAUGAUGAUGAUGAUAAUAAUAAUAGUAAUUGUUGAUGCCGAAAUCUGCUCGUCCUUAGACCGACCAGAUUCUUUCACCAACGUUUAAGUUAUCGACUGCUGCACGAACCGCUAAGGCUGGAAUCACCCUCCUUUCUCUCACUAGACCUGCGUUCACCGAAAACGGAUAAGAGACGCCGGUGGUUUUGCCGGCGUAAACCCUCCGAUGCCUAAGUUAGCACAAGGUGUUUACGGGAAAACAAUGUAAUUUGGAUUUAAGAUGUUUGUUAGAAAUUUGUAAGGAAAUGGCCUGGUUGCAAUUUGGCAGCGUUUUCCCUCUUUCCAGUUUUUCUGUCCCCUUCUUCGUCGAUUUCUUCUUCUUUUAUAGCCGCUGUCCCCACGUUCUCGUUUGCCCUUCAUCCCACCUUUUUCGGGUAGUGGCAGCCCCUCAUGGGACUCUAACUGCUGCAUCAUGGGCAAACGUGGGAUCUCGCAUCUCCCGCAACGGUUCUGGGAAAGCGCAACUGCCGCGAUUCUGUGAGAUCGUGUUUCCGCUUUUUGGGGUAUGGGUACCGGCUCGGUAUAUACCUCUGGUCAGCAUUCGUCUCGGCUCGGCUCAUGUUGCCCCUGCUCUGCUCGUACCAUUUGGCUGAGGUGAUUCAUGCCGGGGUGGAAAUAGUAGCAUGACCGACCUGGUGCUUUUAUUUACUUAACACCAGUCCCCCGGUUUCUGGUCUUGUGAGUGAAAUGAGUCAAGAGUAGAAACUGAUUGUCAAAUCUUGCCAAUCCGGGGGCUUCUCCUCUGGUUUUCUAUCUACAGGGACGGACCUGAGGAUUUCUUUUCUUCAAGGGAGGUUUUGACCUGAGCAUGGGCCUAAAUGAGCAUGUCCAUUGCGUAUCUGGGCUUGCAUCUAGCCUGGUCUCUUGUAACAGUUGGUGACGUGGCAUCUGCAGACUCUUCAUAUUUUGAAAUUUGAAAUGACGGGCUAUCUGUCCUCGAUGUACGGUGCGUCUCCAUCACUUUAAUGCUUUCAUUUCCCCCUUUUCGUUUCAAAUCCCUAGACUGGAGUCAUCAUCAUCUUGUUACUCGUUCCUCCGCCGUUAACCAAAUUUUCUCUGAACUUUGCUCAUACUCCCAGCGUCCGGAGUAUCCAUUUGCUGGGUGUUUUCUCUGUCACGGCAGCGCUAUCUGUGUCCGUCUGUUCCAGGUAUAGCCUUUAACCUUUUCUUUGGUUGUUGUUGAUUGGGUUUUGUGUUGCCCCUUUUUGUAUUCGUGUACUUGGGUUUGUUUUGGUUUUUCUUUUGAGAUUCCGAUAUGUCAAACCGAAAAAGAAAGUUAAUUGUUGAUGAGGGUGAUGAAGAAUCAGGGGAUUCAGGCCUCAACGUGCCAAUACCCACCAAUUUCUUGGGUCCCUCCAGUAGUGUAGGUCCUUCCCAUGGCAGGGAUACCCUUGAGUACCCACGCCCUCUGGUUGUCUCUUCCUCCCCCGAACUACCGCUUGUAAAAAAUAGAGGUGGACCUGCGUCGGGCUCUGGUGAGAACCACAGCUUUGGUGGGGUUGGGAUCUCCGAAGGAGUUGGCGAUGGUGAGGGGAGCAGUUCCGGACCGAGCCGAUCUGCUCAGAGAAGGAACUUAGGCCAUAGGGUGGAGGCUGAUUCCUACCCUAUUGAUUUCAUGGCUUGUGCCACCACCCCCACUGACCUAUUUAAACUUAGGAACCUCUACAACAUCCCCAGCGAGGUUCUUCUUGUAGUUCCUGGAAAAGGCGAUGUCCCUAGUCGGCCUCCGAAAGGGUAUGUGACGAUGCACUUGGAGAGUUUCAGACUAGGAGCUCGGCUGCCCCUUCAACCUUACUUUGCCAAGAUACUGGGUGGUAUGCACCUGGCCCCAGGUCAGCUACACCCAAAUGGGUGGAGGGUUCUCUCGGCGAUGUUUGUGUUGUGGGAGAGGUGUGGGUCGGAGGAGCCUUCUCUUGUCGAAGUGAAACAUCUGUAUCAGCUGCGGAGUAGCCCAAAAGAGGCAGGCUGGUAUUAUUUUAUGUCCAGUUCUGCCAAGAGGAAACCGAUCACUGGGUUUCCAUCUUCAUGUAAAAAUUGGAAGAACAAAUUCUUCUUUGCUGGAGGGAACUGGUGUCCAGCAGUUCGGUCGCUUGGUGGGGACAUUUAUCUUCCCACCCAUUUUGUUACCCCAGAUCGUUCAUUUUUGCCUAUAUUCUUAAUUAGACUGCUACUUAUUGGGUUCUUUAACCUUUUAUGCUAUUUCAGAGUCGUGGGGUCUGAUCGGGGGGCUUGAAGACCGGCCUUUGCUUCAGGUGGAAACGGCUCUAUUGAAUGCGUCUACCUACCAAGACCUCCUGUCACCAACAAGUCUGGUCGGCUCGGGCUUAGUGGAUAUAGCCGCCGGGAUGGAUAGCAAGAUUCUCAGUGCUAUGACCAGAAAGCGUGGUCGGGCUUCGAGCAGCUCCAGCAACCUUCCUCCUCCCCCGAAGAAACCUAGCGUUGGUCCUUCCAAGACGCCUGUUCCUGCUCUGCCCCCACCUCCACCUCGUAAGAGUGUUGGGGAGAAAACCUCCGACAAGAGUCCUGAGGUCAGCUUGCAGUCUGGGGACCGCUCUUCUCCUCUACUAUCUCGGGAUCAAGUGGACUACCUGAGCCCGUAUAAGAAGGAUUACAAAAAAGCGGUGGGGCCCAAGAUGGUGAAGGACAUCGAGAGUAUGAACCUCUCCGAAUUAGCUGCUUCCGUUCAGAGAGUGUCCUUCAGGUUGGCCACCAUGGUUUCGUGCUACAAGAUUGGGUCCGCGCGCCAUGAGAAGAAACUCCAAGCUGACAAUCAGGAAUUGAAGAAGAAAGCUGAAUCUGCUGAUCGCUCCAAGGAGAAGCUGGCUGAGCUGAACAAGCAGAUUAUGGAGCUAGAGGAGAGAGUUGCGGUUGCUGAAUCCAUUUCCUCCAAACUCAAAGGUGAGCUGGGUGACCUGAGGUCUGAUCUCCAUGCUACUCAAAUUGAAAGGGAUACUCUGAGGGCCGCCCUUGAGGGGAAAAUCAAAUCCUUGGGUGAGCAGCUGGCUGAGGAGAAAGGCAAAUCUGCUGACGUGGACGAUCGGUUGGAUGCCGAGUAUGACUCUGGGGUUGCCUUCUCUUAUAAGUGCAUAAUGUCUGUGCUUAAGGAAGAAUAUCCCGAGCUGGACAUGAGCAAGCUGGAGGCUGGAGUGGAGAGGUACAUGGCUGAGGUCGGCCAGGGUGAUAAGGAGCAGGGCGGGCAGGAUCAGGUGGAGGCUCAUUCGGAUGGUGUGCAAGAGGGGGAAGCUGGGGGACGCACUCUCGAAGUGGGUCAAGGGUUCAUGCCUCCUCCUCUCGGCAUUGCUGAUCUUCCACCUCCUGAUGUUGCUGAUCCCUCACUUCCCGAGCUCGCUGAUCCUUCAGCUGCUGGAGCCGUUGAUUCUCCUAACCUUUAGGCCUAUUUUUUGUAUAAGCUCUAGAUUUGCGUUUGUUUUGUAAACAAUUUAAACAUUUAUAAAAAAAAAUUUUUUGAAUGCUCUCUAUUGGUUUUCCUGUUUGGUUUUUUAGUGCAUCGAACAGGAAUAGGCAUUUGUUUACCUUAGUAAAAUUUUCGCAAAAUUGCCUGCUGGUCUUCGGUGACCGAGUAGGAGUAAGCAUUUACUCGCCUUUGUAUAAUAUUCGAAGCUUUAGCUGCUGGUCUUUCGUUGACCGAGCAGAAACAGGCACUCUGUUGCCUUAGUAGAAUUUUCGAAGCUUUAGCUGUUGGUUUUUCGUUGACCGAGCAGAAACAGGCACUUUGUUGCCUUAGUAGAAUUUUCGAAGCUUUAGCUGCUGGUCUUUCGUUGACCGAGCAGAAACAGGCACUUUGUUGCCUUAGUAGAAUUUUCGAAGCUUUAGCUGCUGGUCUUUCGUUGACCGAGCAGAAACAGGCACUUUGUUGCCUUAGUAGAAUUUUCGAAGCUUUAGCUGCUGGUCUUUCGUUGACCGAGCAGAAACAGGCACUUUGUUGCCUUAGUAGAAUUUUUGAAGCUUUAGCUGCUGGUCUUUCGUUGACCGAGCAGAAACAGGCACUCUGUUGCCUUAGUAGAAUUUUCGAAGCUUUAGCUGUUGGUUUUUCGUUGACCGAGCAGAGACAGACACUUUGUUGCCUUAGUAGAAUUUUCGAAGCUUUAGCUGUUGGUCUUUCGUUGACCGAGCAGAAACAGGCACUUUGUUGCCUUAGUAGAAUUUUCGAAGACCGAGCAGAAACAGGCACUUUGUUGCCUUAGUAGAAUUUUCGAAGCUUUAGCUGCUGGUCUUUCAUUGACCGAGCAGAAAUAGGCAAGCUGUUGCCUUAGUAGAAUUUUCGAAGCUUUAGCUGCUGGUCUUUCGUUGACCGAGCAGAAACAGACACUUUGUUGCCUUAGUAGAAUUUUCGAAGCUUUAGCUGCUGGUCUUUCAUUGACCGAGCAGAAAUAGGCAAGCUGUUGCCUUAGUAGAAUUUUCGAAGCUUUAGCUGCUGGUCUUUCGUUGACCGAGCAGAAAUAGGCAAGCUGUUGCCUUAGUAGAAUUUUCGAAGCUUUAGCUGCUGGUCUUUCGUUGACCGAGCAGAAACAGGCACUCUGUUGCCUUAGUAAGCAUUUAAUGGGCUUGCUAGCAGAAAGGUUCCAUACUGAAUUCAUCUUUAUUGAAUUUUGAAUACAUUACAGAAAUGUGGGACAUAUGUGUGUGUCACAAAUCACUGUGUUCAUAACAGAAAUAACUUAUCAGAAUGAAAACUAGUAGGGCACUUUGCUUACUGGAAGUACUUUUUCAGGUGCUCGGCGUUCCAUGACCUCUUCACCUCUCGUCCGUCUGGAUACGCCAGCUUGUAGGCUCCCGGACCAGUUGCUCGUAUCACCCUGUACGAGCCUUCCCAUUUCGGACCAAGAGCUCCAUGGUUAGGAUCCUUGGUAUUUUGGUUCACCUUCCUGAGCACCCAAUCUCCUGUUCGGAACUGCCUCACACGUACGUUCUUGUUGUAAUAACGCGUGACCCUUUGCUGAUACUGAGCCACUUUCUGCGAAGCCCCUUCCCUUUUCUCCUCCAGCAGGUCUAGGUUCAAGCAGAUCUGCUCGUCAUUUUGCUCCUCAUUGAAGUAUUCCGUCCGAUGUGUUCCCAUUCCAAUUUCUGCUGGGACUACCGCCUCGUGACCAAAAGCUAAGGCAAACGGGGUCUCCCCUGUGGCGGUUUUGUGAGUUGUCCGGUAGGCCCACAGUACCCCUGGUAGCUCGUCAACCCAAGCUCCUUUCUUCUCUCCCAAUCUAGUCUUUAGGAGUUUCUUUACCACUUUGUUGGCUGCUUCCACUUGUCCGUUUGCCUGGGGGUGUGCGGGGGUGCAGAAUUUCAGGUCCACCCCUAAGUUUCGGCAAAACUCACUAAAGUUGUUGUUGUCAAAUUGCCUCCCAUUAUCGGUGAUGAUGGUAUACGGGAUUCCGUAUCUACAAAUGAUGUUCUUCCAGAUAAAAUCCGUUGUCCUUCUCUCCGUGAUUUGGCUAAGGACCCCCACUUCUAUCCACUUGGUGAAGUAGUCUAUUGCUACGAUUGCAUGGGUUGCCGCUCCUCGGCCUUUCGGUAACGGACCAAUCAUGUCGAUUCCCCACUGAGCAAAAGGCCAUGGGGAUGUCAUAGUGGUCAGCUUUUCUGGGGGUUGUGCGGGAACCUCUGAGAAGCUUUGGCAGGUUUUGCAAUUCUUUGCCAUCUUUUUCGCAUCCUGGUGCAUGGUUGGCCAGAAGUACCCUUGCCGGAGUGCCUUGAAGGCUAAGGUUCUUGCUCCCGAAUGAUUGCCGCAAAUUCCUUCAUGAAUCUCCCUUAGUACAUAAUCUGCCUCCUCAUCAUCCACACAUCGCAAGAGGGGCAAAGUGAAUCCUUGGCGGUAGAGUACCUCAUCGAGUAGAGUAUACCUCGCUGCUCGGCAUUUCAGCUUUCUUGCUUGCCUUUUGUCCUCUGGUAAAACGCCAUCACGGAUAUAUGCAAGAAUUGGGUCCAUCAAGGACUCUUCAGUACUUAUUCUCAUCACCUCUGCCUCCUCCCCUAUACUUGGCGAGGUCCUUACCUCCAGUGGAACCGAUUUAGGUAAUUUCGGAUUUGCAAUUGCAGCCAUCUUAGCCAACAUGUCCGCUCGGUAAUUCUCAUUUCGAGAUAUCUGCUUUACCUCCACCUCCUGGAAAAGCCCAACCAUUUGCUUCGCCUUCUUCAAAUAAAGUCCCAACUUCUCUUCCCUUACUUGGAAUUAGUCGUUGAGCUGGUUACAUACCAGCUGGGAAUCUGCUCGGAUUUCAACCCUUUCUGCUCGUAAUGCAUGUGCCAAACCGAGUCCAGAAAUGAAGGCCUCAUAUUCAGCUUGGUUAUUCGUAAGCUGGAACUCGAACUUUACUGCAUAAGACACCUCGACACUUUUUGGGCUUCGUAUUAUAACUCCUGCUCCGGAUCCCUGUUCACUACGUGACCCAUCAACCAUCACCAGCCAUACCCUCUUUGGAUCCUCCUGUCCUGCUGGUUGCUCUUCUUGGACCUCUUCCCCUGGUCCAGCACGAUCAACCAUGAAAUCAGCCAGGGCUUGGGCCUUGAUUGCUCCUCGGGGCCUGUAUGAUAAGUCGAAUUCGCUCAGCUCCACGGACUAUUUUACUAACCGACCAGACGCGUCUGGUUUUUGAAGCACCUGCCGAAGGGGCUGGUCAGUCAUCACAAUGAUCUGGUGGGCUUGGAAAUAUGGUCGGAGUUUGCGUGCUGCGGUUAUCAGAGCCAGCGCCCACUUCUCCAUUAAUGGAUAUCUGGUUUCUGCGUUUACCAGGGCCUUGCUUGUGUAGUAUACCGGGUGUUGCUUCCCUUUUUCUUCCCUGACUAAGACCGAGCUGGUAGCCCACUUAGAGAUUGCUAAGUAUAAAAGCAGUUGGUCACCCUCUCUCGGAGUUGAUAGUAACGGGGCGCGGGCUAGGUAUUCCUUCAGUUGUCCAAAUGCCUCCUCACAUUCCAAUGUCCAUUCCAUCUUCCUCCCUUUCUUUAUGAUUUGGAAGAAAGGGUGGCACUUAUCAGUGGCUCGCGAAAUGAAUCGGUUCAAUGCUGCCAAUUUCCCCGUAAGGCUCUGCACCUCCUUAAUUGUUCGUGGGGACCUCAUCUCUAUCACCGCCCGUAUCUUUUCUGGGUUGGCCUCAAUCCCUCGAUGGCUCACCAGGUAUCCCAAAAAUUUGCCCGAGCUGACCCCAAAUGCACAUUUCUCCAGGUUCAGCUUCAUUUCAUACCUCCUCAGCAAUUCGAAGGUCUCUUCCAAGUGCUUCACAUGAUCUGUCGGUUCUCUUGACUUGGUGAUCAUAUCGUCCACGUAUACUUCCAUAGUGUGGCCGAUCAAUGGCUUGAAGACCUUGUUCACUAGCCUUUGAUAGGUAGCUUCUGCAUUCUUUAGGCCAAAGGGCAUCACCCUGUAACAGAACAAACCCAUGUUAGUUAUAAAGGUGGUGCUUUCCUCAUCCUGCUCGUCCAUGGGUAUCUGGUUGUAUCCGGAAAAGGCAUCCAUGAAACUGAGCAGACUAUGACCCGCGGUUGAGUCUACCAACUGAUCUAUUUUUGGUAGGGGAAAGCUGUCCUUUGGGCAUGCCUUAUUGAGGUCCGUGAAAUCUACACACAUUCUCCACUUCCCAUUGGCCUUCUUUACCAGUACUACAUUGGAAAUCCAUUCCGGGUACUUGGCUUCCCUUAUAAAUCCUGCUUUUAGCAGCUUUUCCACCUCCGCAUUAAUGGCCUCGUACCUUUCCUGGUUGAAGCACCUCCUUUUCUGCCUCACCGGCCUUGCCCCUUUCUUGACUGCCAGCUUGUGACAAGCUACCCCUCGAUCAAUACCUGGCAUAUCCUCAUGAGACCAGGCAAAUAUGUCUGCAUGGGACUGUAGACACUUCACCAGCUCGCAUUUUAUUUCUUCACCCAAUUCUGAUCCGACUCUGACCACUCUGCUCGGGUCACUCCUGCUCACAACAACCCCCUCCAAGUUCUCAACAGGUUCCUGGCAACCAUUUUUUGAAUCCCCUCGGUUAUCUAGAGAGGUAACCUGCAGUGUUUCCUUGGCCGCUGUAGCAUAGCAGCUCCUGGCCAUUCUCUGGUCGCCCUUUACUACACCCACGACUCCACUUAUUCUGUAUUUCAGCGCCAGAUAAUGCGUGGACAUCACACAUUGGCUUAUCCUCAUGAAUGGUCUCCCCAAUAUCAUCUGGUAAGGACUUCUUUCCUCUACCACUACAAAGUCCAGCAUCAUCGUUCUUUCAAAUGGCUUUGUCCCCACAGUAAUCGGGAGUUCAAUGAUCCCCAUGGGAGUUAGCCGUCCCCCUCCAAAUCCCUUCAAGGACGUAUUUGUCCGUUCCAGUUUCAAGUCUGCAAUCCCCAUAUCAUCUAGAGCCGACUUAAACAGGAUGUCAACCGAGCUGCCUGUGUCUACUAAUAUUCGUCGUAAUUCUGUACCGGCCACCAUUGCCUUAAUCACCAAUGCAUCUUCAUGAGGAUAUAAGAUACCCUCUUCAUCAUCAUCUGUCCACAUAAUGGGAACUUGUCGCACUUUUGCCUUCUUGGUUGCUGGCAAAUUGAAAAGCACUUCUUUGCUAGUCAUGGCGUACCUCCCAUAGUUCUUCCGUGCUCUGUUCGAAUCCCCGGCCAAUGUUGGCCCUCCUGCUAUCACACGGAUGGUCGGCUGUUCACGUUCCAAAUCCCUCUCAACUCCGUCAUCCCGCGUGUACUGCGACUCCGUGACAGGGGACAUUCCAUCUACGUACUCGUCCAAGUAUCGGUUCCUUACUAAGUCCUCCACCUGAAUCUUCAGGUCACGACAUUGGCUGAUAGUGUGACCGUGAGUGUCGUGGAACUUGCAGAAUCUGCUCUUAUCCCGUCGGUGAGUCGGUUUUAUUAUUGGGGUUGGAGGGUACAGCAGGCCUCGUCCUUCAAUCCUCUCAUAAAAUUCCUCCAUGGAGAUCUUUAAGGGAGUGUACUGUCUAUAUGCCAAGCUCUGGUCUACCAGCUGAACUGCUCGGCUAUCAUGAAUGUCACCUCGGUCUGGCUCGGUCGCUAACUAAUCUGGUCGUCUAGCCCUGGAAUUUAUCGCAUGUAAUGCUCUGGGAGUGUUGUGAUAGGGGUGGGCAGCCAUCUGCCGGAGUACUCGCUGCCGCUCUGGGAUCGAGGGGCGAGGAGGUUGAGCUCGGCUGUGUUGAAACUGUUGUGCUCUCAGAGCUAUGGGGUAAGGGCGGGACCGAGCUGAUAUUCCGCCCAUCAUUGAAGAUUCUCCGAUUCGCUUUUCCGACCCGCUCCCUUUCGGGGCUCGCCGGUCCUUUCGCCUCAGCUCUUCCAGCUGUUCACUUUUAAUUCUUGCCGAUUUCUCCUCUUCGAUUUCUAUAUCUCGCCUCGCCUGCUCAUACCCCGCCGAGUAAUUCUGUACGAGGGGGCUUCUUAAGUUAUACCACAGUCGGCCGAUCCUUACACCUUCUUUUAAUCCCCUCAACGCCUGCGGGUGAUUAAAAGCUCCCAGAUCCAGCACGGCUCGGUGAUAUCGUUUUACAAAGUCUCAAAGGGAUUCAUGCUCCUCUUGUCUCAUCCCCAUCAGUUCCAUCAUGUCGUCCUUUGGGGCUACUGCCCCUCGGAACUGCUCGGCCAACUCCUGGCACAUCUGCUCAUACCCCUUUAUACUUCCUCGGGGCAGCUUGCGGUACCAUUCUCGAGCUCGUCCCUCUAGCGUCAACGGGAACGCCCUGCACCUCUGAGCUGGUGUCAGCCCCUGUACACCCGUCAUGUCGUUGAAACACUCAAUGUGCACCAGCGGGUCACUUCGCCCGGAGUAUUUGAGGUCGGGGAAGCGGAAGUCUCUUGGGAUUAUGGUACCCAUGAUCUCAAUUGAUAACGGAGAUUCUUCAUCUAGCAUUAUCCUCCAGCUCGGGGGCUUUCUCUUGCCCUGUAUCUCCUCUAUCACCUACGCCAAUCUGCACACCUCCCCCUCCAAUUCUAUAGCACGGUCAGGAUCCCGUGCAGCUAUCUGAUCUCGCUCCUGCUCGGCGCUCUGCGACCUCUGUCUGAGCUCUCCUUCAUCAACAUUUGCUCCUCGGCCAUUAGUUUCCCGUAUGCGUCCGGGGCGAGGUUGGUCUCCCCCUUCAUCCACGUGUUCCCCUGGGAUCCGACCAGUACUUCUGUGGGGAUGCACCUCAUUAAGUUGGCCUGCGGGCGGAGGGAUUUCCUCAACUCGACACCUCCGGAGGCUGGGUUCUGCUCCGACUUCAUCUCUUCCCACGGGGGUUUCACAAUCCCUUCUCCGUUCAUCCCUCAACUCAAACAAUAUGGACGCGAGAGUCUCCAUUUGUUUCUCCAUCCGCUUCAGUCUGUCUUGCAUCAUCCUCUCUCGGGCUUCAUUCGCAAUUUCCCAGAGAGUGAUUGUCUCCACCGUUUCAUUGUCCUCCUUCAAAGUAUCCUUUCUUGACACAUCCAUAUCUGAUCGUUCGUUGCUUCUCCGGUAACUGCUAAUUUGGUGGUAGCUUUUUAUUCAGCUCCCCACAAACGGCGCCAAAAUGUUGAUGCCGAAAUCUGCUCGUCCUUAGACCGACCAGAUUCUUUCACCAACUUUUAAGUUAUCGACUGCUGCACGAACCGCUAAGGCUGGAAUCACCCUCCUUUCUCUCACUAGACCUGCGUUCACCGAAAACGGAUCAGAGACGCCGGUGGUUUUGCCGGCGUAAACCCUCCGAUGCCUAAGUUAGCACAAGGUGUUUACGGGAAAACAGUGUAAUUUGGAUUUAAGAUGUUUGUUAGAAAUUUGUAAGGAAAUGGCCUGGUUGCAAUUUGGUAGCGUUUUCCCUCUUUCCAGUUUUUCUGUCCCCUUCUUCGUCGAUUUCUUCUUCUUUUAUAGCCGCUGUCCCCACGUUCCCGUUUGCCCUUCAUCCCACCUUUUUCGGGUAGUGGCAGCCCCUCAUGGGACUCUAACUGCUGCAUCAUGGGCAAACGUGGGAUCUCGCAUCUCCCGCAACGGUUCUGGGAAAGCGCAACUGCCGCGAUUCUGUGAGAUCGUGUUUCCGCUUUUUGGGGUAUGGGUACCGGCUCGGUAUAUACCUCUGGUCAGCAUUCGUCUCGGCUCGGCUCAUGUUGCCCCUGCUCUGCUUGUACCAUUUGGCUGAGGUGAUUCAUGCCGGGGUGGAAAUAGUAGCAUGACCGACCUGGUGCUUUUAUUUACUUAACAAUAAUUAAAAUAGUAAUUAUUAGAAUCAUUAUUAAAAUUGAAUUCCAUAACAAUAAUAAAUAACAAUUAUUAAAAAAUGGGAGUAGCAAAAUUCUAAAAAAUUAUUGUUAAUAAUAAUAAAAAAAAAAUUUCCUCUUUUAUUUUUUAUAUUAUUUUAUCUCUCUUCUGUUUUUUUCUUUCUUUCUCUUCUGCAAUUUCUUCGUUACUUCUCUCCAUCAUCAAUUUCAUCUUCUUCAUCAACAACAUCAUCAUCACAAUUAUCUUCUUCUUCCUCCUGUCAAUUUUGUUUCUUCUUCUUCAUCAACAUCAAAAUUUAAUUUCAUCUUCUAUCUUAUAUAAUUAUAAAUUUAAUAACAUAAUGGCCAGGUAAUACAAACACCAAACAAUACAAUCACUGUUGUUGAUUUUUUUUUUGGUUUAAAAGCCAAGCACCCCUUUGACUUGGAAUAAAAAAAAUCGAAGUCAAUCCAGGUGCUGUUCUUCAUUUUUUUUGGGUUUUUCAGAACAAAAAAAAUAGGGGAAACACACUCGGAACGAUGGAGAGAUUCGGACGUAAGUGACGAACCGAACUGGUUUAAUUUGGCUGUUGGUGACGAGCUGAAGAGAGAGAGGUGGCUAUCGGUGACGAUGCCGUUGACGAGAGAGAGUGCCGAUGAUACCGAUGAAAUUGAGGGGAGGGAGAAGAUACGGGAGUUUCUGGUGCUGGAGAGAUGAAUCCUCCUUUUCUUUUUUUUAAUUCAUAUUUUUCAUUUGUGAGAGGGGUAUUUUCGAAAAAUAAAGAAAUUAAUGAGGAUAUUUUCAUCAUGGGAGGGAAUGGAGUUAUGAUUCCGACCCUCCUCCACUGGAAUGCCAAUCCGGGUAAUCAAUCCUUAUUUUGAGUGAGACCCACGCGUCUCAUUCCCGUUCCCAUUCCCAAUUUUUUUUUCUUUUCCAUUCCCAUUCCCAAUUUUAAUUUAACAAAUAAAUAGACUUUUGAUUCCGAUUUCACCAUUUCGAUUCCCAUUUCAAAAAUGUGAAUACACCAUAAAAUUAUUCCUUCGUAUUUUGUCUCUAAGUGAAGUGUCAAUUGAGAUUCUCUCCUUGACUCUCCUGAAUUUUUAAAGCUCUAUUAACAUGUGUCACCUAACCAGUUGGUCAGGCCCUUGGGGCCAACUGCCAAUAACACACGUCAUUGAAUUUGAAGAGGAUCCAAAUCGGUGAAGUGUCAUGCCUUCCCAGUGAAUUUUAGUCGACAUUUCAAAUUUUUUAAGAUUCAAAUUGUAGGAUGUUUUAUCAUUACUACUCGUUAAUUUUGUCUAUUAUGCAUGCUUGUUUACAGAGAGAGAGAGAGAGAGAGAGAGAGAUAUGAAAUCUCAAUAGAUAGAAGAUUUUGUACAUUAUGCAUGCUUGUUUUUACACACACACACACACACACAGAGAUAUGAAAUUUCAAUAGAUAGAAGAUUUUUGGUUCCCUUCAUUUUCUUACCAUCAUACGUCUAUGAUUUCCUGCCGUAGCAAUCUGGGUCAGAACUUACUCACGGGGAAGAUACCACCAUCAUUGGGGCGCUUGUCAUCUCUUAAAACACUGUAAGAAUCUUCACAUGCAAUUUAUUUAUUUUAUUUAUUUUUUUAAAGCAAAUCUAAAGGGUACAAGAAAAAUUUUACUACUAAGGGCAAAAAAAAAAAAAAAAAAAAAGAUGACACUUAAAUGAGGGUGGCAAUGAAUCUUAUCCUUAAAAAAUUAAGAAAACAAAACAUAUGACCAAUAUAAAAAAAGAAGAGCAACAUAAGCAAUAAUUACUAGGAAACAAAAUGCAUGUGACUAUGCACAUACAACCACAAAUGAAAGGCAAAAUAGCAACAGGACAAUCCGGCUACCAAUCUGACUCGGAUUCCACAACUCCCAUAUUAGCCAAUUUAUCUGAAAAUAUGAGUAAAUCGCACUUACAGUUGCUCCACAAAAUCCGACAGUUCUUCCAACGAAAAAUUCAGAAGUAAAAUAUUGAAAUAUUCAAUUAAUUAAUUACUCCAAAAAUUGCAUUUUGCAUUUAUCUUACUAUGUACUUCUGGACAUUUUAGGGAACUAUGGAGCAACCAGCUAGCUGCUUAAAUCAAUACUUAGCUUAUUUCUUUGAAAAUACAAUACAGUUUUUAAUUUCAUAUAUAUUUUCUAAUAUAUAGAUCUCUGCUGGAGAAUGGACUCAAUGGUACACUCCCACCAGAACUUGGAAAAUUAAGCAAUCUUCAAAAAUUGUAAGUGUGUGUGUUAAGUAUUUAUUUAUAGAAUUUAUAAAAUGGUUAAUUAGGAUGUUGAUGUCGUCGUGUAUAUAUAUGCUUGUGACUAAUUAUGUACUACAUUUCACUUGUACUUAAAAAGUCAUUUAUACAUAGACACGCGUGCGUGUACAUGCACAAACACAUAUUUGGCUGGUAUGCAAUUAUUAUUUGUCAAUCAUUCAUCUACGUUCAUACCAAUACCACAUUAAAAUUUACAACACUUCAAUCUUAAACAUAACCUAAAAGUAACUUUCAUGUGGUUGCAGGCGGUUGCAAUCCAACAAUUUAAGGGGGGAUUUACCAAAAGAUUAUGAGAAUCUAAAGAAUCUGACGAUUUUGUAAGUGUCCUGUUUGUUCGUUUUCUAAUUGUUAUUGUUGUUGUUAUUUUUAAGGAUCGUAAUUAAUUUGGUCUAGAUUUUUCUUGCUUAUUGUUUGAAGUCUGCAAAUAUCAGUAGCGGAAAUUUUAUUUGUCAAUGCAGUGGAAUAGCUGGGAAUUAUUUGUCUGGUCGGAUCCCCACAUUCAUUGCAAAAUGGGUCAACCUCUAUGCUCUGUAAGCCUAUUCAUUUUGUCCUUUUAUGUGACAACUGAAACUUGGGUACUCUCUGUGUAAACAAUCUGCUUUUGUUGGAGUUUAAUUGUUUCUACAUAAAACUGUUAACCAAACUCUGACAUGUACUCCGUGGCAAACCAUGCUAAGUAAAGGUAGGAAUAUGGGCUGGGUAGAAUGGAUAUCCCUCCGUAAUUAAAGGUAGAAAUGUAGGUUGUCGCAGUAUAUAAAUUUCUUAUUGCAAUAUAUGUAUAUCGCACCAUAUAAAAGUAAAUCAAUUUGCAUGAUGCUCGAAAACAUACAAAAACAAUGAAUUCUCCCACACGCGCGAGCUAAUUAUCAAUAAUAUUACUUUUCUUUCCUUUAAUCUCACAGAAAUCUGAUGGGAAAUAACUUCGAAGGGGAGCUGCCACCAGAAAUUUUUAACAUGUCAAGCCUUCAAUCUUUGUAAGAACAAUUAAUAAUAAUCCAAACUCUGCUCUAUAUAUGUAUGUAUGUGUAUGUGUAUGUGUAUAUAUAAUCAUUUUUUAGUGCGGGCGCCCUCAUUUGUUUUUUAUUGUGAACACGAUUUUAAGCAGUGUAAUUUAACUUAAUUAGAUCUUAGUGUUAUUAAACCGCACGGUUUAAAAGUGUGUCCGUAAUAAAAAUAUAAAAAAAUGAGAGCGCCUGCACACACUCACACACACAGAAAAAUUUCAGACACACACACAUAUAUAGAAAAUUUUCAAUGACAUUAUACUAUAUGGUGUAAUAUAGACUAUUAACAUUCCCGUACUUUAAUAAAGUACAAUAUUAAAAACUAUCUUUUUCAUGGUUUACAAUGUUUUGUCAUAGACAUUGUAAAGUCCAUAACUCCCGGAUGGGAAAUUUUCUUUUUUAAUUUCGCAAUUAACUUAAUUUCUAACUUGGCUUCGUUGUUUAUUCCAGCUAUGUCUCCGACCUACAAACGAUGGGCUUUUCUUUCCCGAAGUCAGCUAAUUUGAGUAGUAUAUCAAGCCUGUAAGCGGUGUAUUCCAAUUCCAUGCACGUAUAAUUAUUUUAUGCGUUAAUUAUAUAUUUAUCUGUUUUUGUUAAUUAUUAAUACCUGAUCUGCAUUUUAAAUUUAUAAAUUGUUUACUAUUCCUUAUAAUUAAUUAAUUAAUUAAAUCUUUUUUAGAAAUUAAAUUAAUCAUAAUAAUUCUACAGGAUAUUGAGAAAUUGCAGCAUUACUGGUUCAAUCCCACCAUACAUUGCCGAUUGGAGUCAGUUAGGCUACCUGUAAGUCUAUUUUCUUAUUAGUUUAGUAAUAUGAGGUCAGAGAUCAUUUAAACUUGUAUCAUUGAUCCAUCUGCAACAUCUAUUAACCUUGUCAUAAUGUCGUAAAGUAAAUUACUAAACUAGUGUAUAUAUUUGAUUUUUGCAUAUAUUACCUCAAUUUUUAAGAUAUAUUAAAAAAGGGUUAUUUUCAAGAAUACUUUUGGAAAUAUACAUCUGUCUUCGGAAAUAGUCAUUUCUGAAAGAAAAUUAAUAAAAUAUUAAUGAUUAUUUUUUCCCCAUCUAAUCUGAUAUUUCCUAAGCUUUAUAUGUAAAAUAAGUUGCAGUUAUAUUAUUUUGCAGAUAACAAAAACGAUUGUCUUCAAUAAUAUUGUCUUUUUUUUCUUCUCUAAAUAUUGUCUAAAAUUUUCUUUAAUCGCCGACCUUUUUUUUCUCUUUAAAAUUGCUUAUCAAUCCCGGAAACAGGGAAUUAUCAUUUUUUUUGUUAAUCUUUCAUCAAAUAAUUUCCAUUUUUUUACUGAAAUUUUUGUUAUUUUUUGAAAGUAUUAUUUAUAAGUACUAUGAUUAUGCAUUCAAUUCUAGUCCAUUUCCAUGAUAUAAGUCUUUUUUAAAGAAUUAAUUGUCAGUAUUUCUUCAUUGCUCAAGUUUAUACCAAGGUUUAAAGUUUCUGAUAAAAAAAAAAAAAAAACUAGAGAAAGAAGGAGCAGUUUGGUUAAAAAGCGGCACGGCUUGUUAGCGCCCGUUAAGAAACAAUGUGUCUUGAUAUUUAAUAAGAAAAUUUUUAAAUAAAAUAAAACCUAGUCUUAGAAAGGUUUAAUUGAAAUAUGUCGUAAUUUUAUAGUAAAUUUAGGAAAUAUUAGAUAAGGAGAGGAUCCAAAUCCUUAUUGUAAAUGAUCAUUUUUAUUUUAUUUUCCUCUAAUCAUUGAUUAUUAAUUUGUACUGCAGUGACCUGAGCUUCAACAACUUAACUGGUGGAAUUCCAAAUACAUUCAAGAAACUGUUUUUAUAUGAGCUGUAGGUGAUAACUUUCUUGAAUCCCAUUAAUUUUAUCUUUUCUUAAUAUAAAAGGGAGAAUAACAUUUAGACUCCUAAUAUUUCUCCCCAAUUUUACCAAUUCGAUCCAUGAUUUUUUUAUAUCAAACAAUUACGUCCCUAACUUUAAUUAUUCAAACUUUUAUUUUUAAAGGGUAAAUGAUAUUUUUUUACCAUACAAAUCAUAUGCUCCUUUUGACAUAUAUGUCUUAUCUGAAUUAUGUAUUCUCACUUUUUUCCUUUUGACUGACAGUAGUAGUGUAAUAAAAAAGAAUCCAAAUAAUUUGUUUUUUGUGUUACUAUUUUUACUUUCCAGGUAUCUUACAGGAAAUAUGCUCAAUGGAACAUUGCCAGAUUGGAUUUACAGCAAUGUUACAAAAAAGGGGUAUGCUUUCUAACUAUACAUAAAUGUGAUAAAAUGUUUUCAAACUUGUUCUAGUGUAAACAUUAUUUCCUUUCCCCAUCAAAUUAAACGCAUUUUAAAUCAAAGACGCGGGUUAGGCAAAUGAAAAUUUAUGUAAAAAUUUUCAAUUUAGAAUAGUGUAAUGUGCAAAUGUUUUGAAGCUUCUUAUUCAAAUGCUAGUUGCAUAUAUUUAAUUAAAUAUAUUAUCGUCCCAAGUCAUGAACAAACUAUAGCCUGCCAGUAUUUUGCAUGCAUCUAGUUAAAUAUACAAAUGUGUUGAUGCUGAAAUCUGCUCGCCCUUUACCCGAUCAGAUCUUUCCACCAACGUUUAUGUGAUCAGUAAAAAAGAUGUCACUUUCUCCUUGUUUCAACGAUUGCUUACGUCAUCAGGUUAGAAUCACCCUUUCUUCUCUUAUUAAGCCUGCGUUCACAAAAAUGGAUCAGAGACGCCGGUGGUUUUACCGGUGUAAACCCUCUGAUGCCUAAGUUAGCGCAAGGUGUUUACGGGAAAACGGUUCAAUUUAGAUUCUGUAACGGCUUACGAUUCGCUCAGAGUUUAUGUAGAAAAUAGUCUGGUUUCAAUUUGGCAGAGUUUUCCCUUCUCUCUCAAUCUUUUGGUCCCCUUCUUCAUUGGUUUCUCCCUCUUUUAUAGCCGUUGUCCCACGUUUCCGCUCACUCUUCAUGAUCCCCCUUUCUCGGGUAAUGGCAGCCCCUCAUGGGACUCCAACCACUGCAUUGUGGGUAAACGUGGGAUACCAUGUCUCUCUCAACGGUUCAGGGCAUAGCGCAACUGUCACGAUUUCAUGAGAUCGUGUGCCCGCUCUUUUGGGCGAUGGGUAUCUGCUCGGUAUAUGUCUCUGGUUGGUAUAUUCCUCUGGCCGGUACUCGUCUCUGGUUGGCCCAUGCUUGUAGAAUGCUCUUUAUCAGUGUUCCGCUCGUACCAUUUAGUUGAGGUGAUUCACCCCGGGGUGGGAGAUGAUGGCAUGGCUGAGCUGAUGCUCUUAAUUACUUAACACUAGUCCCCCAGUUUCUGGUCUUGCGAGUGAAACGAGUUGAGAGUAGAAACUGAUAAUCGAAUCUUACCGAUCCUAGGAACUACCCAUCUGGUCUUCGCGUUAUCGUGAUGGAUCUGAGGUUCCAUCUUUUGUCUAGGGAGAUUUUGACCUGAGUAUGGGCCUUCAUGAGUAUGUCCAGUAUAUAUACCUGGGCUUACGUCUUGUCAGGCCUCUUAUAACAGUUAGUGACGUGGCCCUUCCUGACUCUUCGUGUUUGAAAUUUGGAACGACGGGCUAUCCAUCCUCGAUAUACGGUGAAUGAGCUGGCAUUCCCAUCACUUAAACGCUUCCAUUUCCCCCUUUUCGUUUUAAAUCCCUAGACUAAAACCAUCAUCGUUUUGUUAUUCGUCUCUCCGCCGUAAGCCAACUCCUUCUUUGAACUUUACUCACACUUUCGGCGUCAGGAACCUCCACUCGCUGGAUCCUUUCUCCGUCACGGCAGCGCUAUCAGUGCCAGUCUAUUCCAGGUACAGCCUUUAACCUCUUCUUUGAUUGUUGUUGAUUGGAUUUUGUAUUGUGGAUCCUGUAUUUGUCCCUUUUUGUACCCAUACACUUGGAUAUUUUGUGCUUUCCCUUUUUAAACUUCAAUAUGUCAAACCGAAAGGGAAAAAUAAUUGUAGAUGAGAGUGAUGAAGAGAUAGAAGAUUCAUAUCCCCAUCUGUUUGGACCCAAUGAUCUUCUAUACUCUUCUCGCAGUGUAGGUCCCUCCUAUCAUAGGGAUACCCCUAAAUACCCUCGUCCUAUGACCACUUCGCCUUCCCCAGAAUUAGAGCUUGUAGGAAACUGAGGUGGACCCGCGUCGGGCUCUGAUGAGAAUCAUAGUUCUGGUGGGGCUGGGGUCCCUGAAGAAGUGGGUGAUGGUGAGGGGAGCAGUUCCGAGCCAAGCAGACCCCUUAAGAAGAGAAACCUUGGCUAUAGAAUGGAGGCAGAUUCUUACCCUAUUGAUUAUAUAGCUUGUACCACCACCCCAACUAACCUGCUUAAGCUUAGAAAUCUUUAUAAUAUUCCUGAGGAGGUUCUCCUUGUAAUUCCCGGGAAAGAUGACGUCCUUAGUCGGCCUCCGAGGGGGUAUGUGAUGAUGCACCUGGAGAGUUUUAAGUUAGGAGCUCGGUUGCCCCUUCAGCGUUAUUUUCCAAGAUAUUGGGUGGUAUGCAUCUGGCUCCAAGUCAGUUUUACCCAAAUGGGUGGAGGGUUCUCUCAGCUAUGUAUGUGUUAUGGGAGAUGUGUGGAUCGGAGAAACCCUCCCUUGUUGAAGUAAAGCAGUUGUACCAGUUGAGGAGUAGCCCAAAGGAAGCAGGCUGGUACUACUUCAUGUCGAGCUCUGCGAAGAGGAAGCCAAUCACCGGCUUUUCUUCCUCAUGUAAAAAUUAGAAGAACAAAUUCUUCUUUCCUGGAGGAAAUUGGUGUCUAACAGCUCGUUCGUUUGGUGGUGAUAUUCACAUUCCAAAGCGUUUUGUCACCCCAGGUCGUUUAUUUUUGUCUAUUUUCUUUCUCCAAUCAUCACUUAUUUAGUUCUUUAACCUUGUUUUCUCUUUUAGAGUUGUGGGGUUUGAUCAAGAAGCUUGAAGACAGACCAUUGCUCCAAGUGGAAACUGCUCUGGUGAAUGCAUCUACCUGCCAAGACCUCCUGUCACCAAUAAACCUGGUCGGGUCGCGUUUAGUGGACGUAGCUGCCGGAAUGGAUAACAAGAUCCUCAGCGUUAUGACCAGAAAGCGUGGUCGGGCUCCAAGCAGCUUUAGCAACCCCCCUCCUCCUUCGAAAAAAACCAAUGCUGGUCCGUCCAAGGCCUCUGUUCCUCCUCUGCCCCCUCCUCCACCUCGGAAAAAUGGUGGAGAGAAAGUGAGUGACAAGAGUCCUAAAUUCAGCGUUCAAUCUGGCGACCGAUCCUCUUCUCUUCCAUCUCAGGAUCAUGGUGACUAUCUGAGUCCGUACCAGAGGGACUAUCGCAAAUCGGUGGGACCUAAGAUGGUGAAGGAUAUUGAGAACAUAAACCUCACCGAGUUAGCUGGUUCUGUUCAAAGGGUUUCCUUUAAGCUGGCUACUCUGGUUUCGUGCUACAAGAACAAGUCCAUGCGCCAUGAAAACAAGUUCAAGCUGACAACCAGGAUUUGAAGAAAAAGGCAGAGUCUGCUGACCGCUCGAAGGAGAAACUGCUUGAUCUGCACAAGCAGAUCAUGGUCCUGGAGGAGAAAGUGGCCAUGGCUAAGUCCACUUCCACCAAGCUCGAGGGUGAAUUGGGUGAUCUGAAGUCUGAUCUUCAGGCCACUCAAAGUGAGCGAGAUACUUUGAAGAUGACCCUCGAGGGUGAAAUUAAGUCUCUAAAUGAGCAGUUGGCCGAGCUGAAGGGUAAAUCUGCUGAUACGGACGAACGGCUGGAUGCAGAGUAUAACUCUGGACUUGCUUUUUGCUACAAGUGCAUCAUGUUUGUGCUUAAGGAAGAAUAUCCAGAGCUUGACAUGAGCAAGUUGGAGGCUGGAGUGUAGAAGUAUAUGGCCGAGUCCGACCAGGGGGAUAAAGAGCAGCAGGAUCAGGAUCAGGUGGAGCCUCCUUCAGGUGAGGUGCAUGAGGAGGGAACAUGGGAUCGUGCUCUUGAGGCAGGCCAGGGGUCAACGCCUAUUCUCCUAGAAGUUGCUGGUCCUCCUCUUCCUGAGAUUGCUGAUCCUUCUCCUACCGAGACUGCCGAGCCUCAUGAUCCUUAGGCUUAUUUUUUAUGUAAAUUUUAGAUUCUCGUUUGUUUACAAACAUUCGGAUGUUUAUAAACUUUGGAUGCUUUUGGUUUGCUUUCUUGUCUCGGUUUUGCUUAUGGAUUUUUUUUUCUGUUGUUCUUUCAAACGUCUGAGCAGGCACUGACACUUGUUUGCCUUAAUAAAAUUUUGUAAGAUUAUCUGCUGGUCCUUUGAUCGAACAGGAAUAGGCAUUUGCUUGCCUUAAUAAAAUUUCGUAAAAUUGCCUGCUGGUCCUUUAGGCGACCGAGCAGGAAUAGGCACUUGCUUGCCUUAAUAAAAUUUGUUUAGCGAGGGAAUUUGCGCUGAAUUCAUCUUUAUUGAACUUUGUAUGGAUUAUAAAAGCAAAAUACACAUGUGCCUCAAUUCAACAUGCAUUAAUCAGAAAUAACUUAUCAAAAUAAAAAGUUGGUAAAGCACUUUGCUAACUGGAAGUAUUUCUUCAAAUGCUCGGCGUUCCACGACCUUUUCACAUCUCACCCGUCUGGGUAAGUCAACCUAUACGCUCCUGGGCCAGUUGUUUGUACCACUCUGUACGGGCCCUCCCACUUCAGGCCAAGAACGCCGUGAUUAGGAUCUCUUGUGUUUUGGUUCACUUUUCUAAGUACCCAGUCCCCUACUCGGAACUAUCUCAUGCGUACGUUGUUGUUGUAGUAGUGCAUGAUCCUUUGCUGACAUUUGGCUACUCUCUGCGAGGCCCCUUCCAUUUUUUCCUCCAGCAGGUCCAAGUUCAUGCAGAUCUGCUCAUCAUUUUGUUCCUCGUUGAAAUAUUCUGUCCGAUGUGUUGUCACCCCGAUUUCUGCUGGGAUUACUGCCUCAUGGCCGAAGGCCAAAGCGAAUGGGGUUUCUCCCGUGGCCGUUUUUUCGGUUGUUUGGUAGGCCCAUAACACUCCUGGUAGCUCGUCGACCCAAGCUCCCUUCUUCUCUCCCAGCCUGGUUUUCAGGAGUUUCUUUAUUACUUUGUUGGCUGCUUCUACUUGUCUAUUUGCUUGGGGGUGUGCUGGGGUACAAAACUUUAGGUCUACCCCGAGGUUUUGACAAAAUUCUCUGAAGUUGCGAUUAUCAAACUGCCUCUUAUUGUCUGUAAUGAUGGCAUAGAGGAUCUCGUAUCUGCAGAUGAUAUUCUUCCAAACAAAAUCAGUUGUUUUUCUCUCCGUGAUUGGACUGAUGACUUCCACUUCCACCCAUUUGGUGAAGUAAUCUAUAGCCACAAUUGCAUGCGUUGCAGUUCCUUGGGCCUUAGGUAAUGGGCCAAUCAGGUCAAUUCCUCAUUGGGCAAAAGGCCAUGGGGAUGACAUAGUGGUUAGCUUUUCUGGGGGCUGAGCAGGAACCUCAGAGAAGCUCUGGCAGACUUUACAAUUCUUUGCCAACCUCUUUGCAUCAUGGUGUAUGGUCGGCCAGAAGUACUCUUGCCGAAAUGCCUUAAAAGCCAAAGUUCUCGCCCCUAAGUGGUUGCCGCAUAUUCCUUCGUGAAUCUUCCUCAAUACAUAAUCUGCUUCCUCAUCAUCCAAACAUCUCAAAAGGGGCAAGGUGAAUCCCCGGUGGUACAGUACCCCAUCGAGUAGCGUAUAUCUUGCUGCCCGACAUUUCAAUUUCCUUGCUUGUUUCCUGUCUUCUGUUAAAAUGCCAUUGCGGAUGUAUGAGAGAAUCGGGUCCAUUCAGGAUUCUUCGGUGCUCACUCUCAUCACUUCUGCUUCCUCCCCUAUACUUGGCGAGGUCUUCACUUUCAGUGGAACUGACUUAGGUAAUUUUGGAUCCGCAAUUACGGCUAUUCUAGCCAACAUAUCUGCUCGGUAAUUUUCACUCCGGGAUAUCUGCUUUAUUUUUAUCUCUUGGAAGAGGUCAACCAUCUGUUUUGCUUUCUUCAAAUAAAGCUCCAUCUUCUCUUUUUUUACUUGGAACUGAUUAUUGAGCUGAUUACAGACUAAUUGGGAAUCUGUUUAGAUUUCUACCCUCUCUGCUCGUAGUGUGUGUGCAAGCCCGAGCCCGGCGACGAAGGUUUCAUAUUCAGCUUGGUUAUUCGUGAGCUGGAAUUCGAAUUUUACUGCAUAGGAUACCUCAGUUCCUUCUGGGCUUCGUAUUACAAUUCUUGCUCCGGAUCCCUGUUCACUACGUGACCCAUCAACCAUUACUAGCCACACCCCCUUUCGAUCCUCCUGAACUUCCUUUCCUGUUUCAACACGAUUAACCAUAAAAUCGGCCAGGGCUUGGGCUUUGAUUGCUCCUCGGGGUCUGUAGGAUAGGUCGAAUUCGCUCAGCUCCACAGACCAUUUUACUAACCGACCAGAUGCAUCUGAUUUUUGGAGCACUUGCCGAAGAGGUUGGUCAGUCAUCACAACUAUCGGGUGGGCCUGAAAAUAUGGUCUGAGCUUGUGUGCUGCCAUUACUAAAGCUAGCGCCUAAUUCUCCAUCAGUGGAUAUCUGGUUUCUGCGUCUACCAAGGCCUUGCUAGUGUAGUUUACGGGGUGUUGCUUUCCUUCCUCUUCUCUGACUAACACUGAACUGGUAGCCCAUUUAGAGAUUGCCAAGUGCAAAUACAUUUGAUCACCUUCUCUCGGGGUUGAUAGUAACGGGGCACGGGCCGAAUACUCCUUCAGCUGCCCAAACGCCUCCUCACAUUAUGAUGUCCACUCCAUUUUUCUCCAUUUCUUUGUGGUUUGGAAGAAAGGGUGGCACUUAUCUGUGGCUUGCGAAAUGAACUGGUUCAAUGCUGCCAACUUCCCUACAAGGCUUUGCACCUCCUUAACUGUUCGGGGGGGACUUCAUUUCUAUUACUGCCCAUAUUUUUUUCGGGUUGGCCUCAAUUCCUCGGUGGCUCACCAGGAAUCUCAAAAGCUUGCCCGAGCUGACUUCAAAUGCACAUUUCUCUGGGUUCAACUUCAUUUCAUACUUCCUCAAUAAUUCAAAGGUUUCUUCCAAGGACUUUACAUGAUCCCUCGGUUCUUUAGACUUUGUGAUCAUAUCGUCCACGUAUACCUCCAUAGUGUGACCGAUCAAUGGCUUGAAGAUUUUAUUCACCAACCUUUGAUAGGUCGCUCCUACAUUUUUUAGGCCAAAGGGCAUUAUCCUGUAACAAAACAAACCCAUGUUAGUUAUAAAAAUAGUAUUCUCCUCAUCCUGCUCAUUAAUGGGUAUCUGGUUAUAUCCCGAAAAGGCAUCCAUGAAACUGAGCAGAUUGUGACCCGCUGUUGAGUCCACCAACUGAUCUAUUUUUGGUAGGGGGAAGCUGUCCUUCAAGCAUGUCUUAUUAAGGUCUGUGAAGUCCACACACAUUCUCCAUUUCCCAUUGGCCUUUUUUACCAGCACUAUAUUGGAAAUCCACUCCGGGUAUUUAGCCUCCCUUAUGAAUCCUGCUUUCAAUAGCUUCUUUACUUCGGCGUUUAUGGCCUCGUAUAUCUCCUGAUUAAAACAUCUCAUUUUCUGCCUCACCGGCCUUGCCCCUUUCUUGAUUGCCAACUUAUGGCAAGCUACCUCGCGAUCAAUUCCUGGCAUGUCCUCAUGCGACCAGGCAAAUAUAUCUGCAUGGGAUUGUAGGCAUUUCACCAGUUCAUCUUUCAUUGACCCGCCCAAUCCUGACCCGAUCCUAACCACUCUGCUCGGGUUAUUAUUGCUCACCAAAACCUCCUCCAGUUUCUCAACUGGCUCCUGGCGACCCUUUUUUAAAUCUUCUCGGUUGUCCAGAGUGGCAACUUGUAGUGUCUCCUUGGCCGGUGUAGCAUAACAGCUCCUCGCCAUUCUCUAGUCACCUUUUACUACGCUUACAACUCCAUUUACUCUGUAUUUUAAUGCUAGAUAAUGCGUGGAUAUAACGCAUUGGCUUGUCCUCAUGAAAGGUCGCCCCAGUAUCAUCUUGUAGGGGCUUUUCUCUUUUACUACUACAAAGUCUAGCAUCGUUGUCUUUUCAGAGGGUUUUACUCCUAUGGUAAUCGGUAGCUCGACGAUUCCCAUAGGGGUCAGCCGACCUCCUCCAAAACCCUUUAAAGAUGUGUUCGUCCGCUCCAAUUUUAAAUCCGCAAUUGUCAUCUAGGGCUGAUUUGAACAGUAUGUCAACUGAGCUGCCUGUAUCCACCAGUAUUCGCCAGAACUCCUUACUCGCCACCAUUGCUUUAAUCACCAAUGCAUCCUUAUGGGGGUAUAAAACACCCUCUUCAUCAUCAUCUGUCCACAUAAUGGGGACUUGCCUUACUUUCGCCCUCUUGGCUGUUGGCAAGUUAAAAAGUACCCCCUGGCUAGUCAGAGCAUAUCUCCCAUAAUUCUUCCAUGCUCUGUUUGAAUCUCCAGCCAAUGUUGGACCUCCUGCUAUCACCUGAACGGUUGGCUGUUCCAGCCCUAGGCUCCUUUCAGCUCCAUCAUCCCGUGUAUAUUGUGAUUCAUCCACGGGGAACACUCUAUCUACAUAUUCGUCCAAGUACCAGUUUCUCACCAAAUCUUCCAAUUGAGUCUUCAAAUCACGACAUUGGUUGAUAGUGUGACCAUGAGUGUCGUGGAAUUUGGAGAAUCUGUUCUUAUCACAUCUGUGAGCGGGUUUUGUUAUAGGGGCAGGAGGGUACAGCAGGCCUCGUCCCUCGAUUCCCUCGUACAACUCCUCCAUAGAAACUUUCAAUGGGGUGUACUGUUUGUAUGCCAAGCUCUGAUUAAUUAGUUGGAUUGCUCGAUUAUCGUGGAUAUCGUCUCGAGAUGGUAUUGUAGGUAGCUGAUUUGGUCGACCAGCCCUGGAAUUAACUGUAUGCAGUACCCUGGGAGCGUUGUGAUAAGGAUAAGCAGUCGCCUGCCGAAAUUCUCUUUGCCGCUCAGGGAAUGGGGGGCGUUGUGGUUGAGUUCGGUUGUGUUGGAACUGGGGCGACUUCUGAGUCAUGGGAUAAGGGCGAGACCGAGCUGAUAUUCUACCCAUUGCUGAUGAUUCCCCAGCUCGCCUUCCUGACCCACCCCCACCCAGGGUUCUUUUUUCCUUUCGCCUUAACUUCUCUAGCUACUCACUCUUUAUCUUUGCCAUUUUUUCUUCUUCAAUUUCUAUGUCUCUCUUCGCCUGCUCAUACCCCGAUGAAUAGUUCUGAACGAUGGGACUUCUCAAGUUGUACCACAAUCGACCUAUCUUCACACCUUAUUUUAGUCCUCUCAAUGCCUGCGGGUGAUUGAAAGCUCCCAGAUCAAGCACGGCCUGGUGGUAUCAUUUCACAAAAUCCCGAAGAGAUUCGUGCUCCUCUUGCUUCAUCCCCAUCAAUUCCAUCAUAUCAUCUUCUAGGGCUACCGUUCCUUGGAACUGUUCGGCCAACUCUUGGCACAUCUGCUCGUAUCCCUUUAUACUUCCUCGUGGCAGCUUACGAUACCAUUCACGGGCUCGUCCCUCAAGUGUCAAGGGGAACGCCCUGCACCUCUGAGCUGGUGUUAGCCCCUGUACGCCCGUCAUAUCGUUGAAGCACUCAAUGUGCACGAGCGGAUCGCUUCUCCCGGAGUACUUGAGGUUGGGAAAGCGAAAAUCUCUUGGGAUAACGAUACCCAUGAUCUCAGCUAAUAGCGGAGAUUCUUUAUCUAGCAUUAUCCUCCAACUCGGAGGCUUUCUCUUGCUCUGGAUCUCAUCAAUCACUUGCGCCAGCCUGCGUACCUCGCCUUCUAACUCUAAAGCAUGAUCGGGGUCACGCCAGCUAUUUGAUCUCUCUCCUGCUCGGCAUUAUGCAGCCGCUGUCUGAGUUCACCUUCAUCAACAUUCGCUCUUCGGCCAUCAAUUUCUAGGAUUUGCCCCGAGUGAGAUUGAUCUCUCUCUUAAUCCAAAUGCUCUCCAAGGUUCCGUCCCGCAUUUCUGUGGGGGUACGCCCCAUAGGGUUGGUCUACCAGCGGAGGGAUCUCCUCGAUUCUACGCCUCCGUAGGCUGGGUUCCGCUACGGUUUCGUCUCUUAACGCAGUGGUCUCGUUCUCCCUUCUCCGUUCAUCUCUCAGUUCGUGCAAAAUGGCUGUGAGGGUCUCCAUUUGCUUCUCCAUCUGUUCCAUUCGAUCUUGCAUCAUCCGCUCUCUGGCUUCAUUCGCGAUCUCUCGGAGAGUGAUCGUUUCUCCGGUUUCAUUGUCACCCCCUAAGGCGUCCUUCCUUGUCACAUCCAUUAUCAAUCGUUCGCUGAUUCUCUGACGACUACUAAUUUGGUGGUAGCUUUUUAUUCAACUUCCCACAGACGGUGCCAAAAUAUUGAUGCUGAAAUCUGCUCGCCUUUUACCCGACCAGAUCUUUCCACCAACGUUUAUAUGAUCAGUAGAAAAGAUGUCACUUUCUCCUUGUUUUAACGAUUGCUUACGUCACCGGGUUGGAAUCACCCUUGCUUCUCUUAUUAAGCCUGCGUUCAAAAAAUUGAUCAGAGACGCCGAUGGUUUUACUGCCGUAAACCCUCCGAUGCCUAAGUCAGUACAAGGUGUUUACGGGAAAACGGUUCAAUUUAGAUUCUAUAUUGGCUUACGAUUUGCUCAGAGUUUAUGUAGAAAAUAGUCUAGUUUCAAUUUGGCAGAGUUUUCCCUUCUCUCUCAAUUUUCUGGUCCCCUUCUUCAUUAGUUUCUCCCUCUUUUAUAGCCGUUGUCCCACAUUUCCAUUCACUCUUAAUGCUCCCCCUUUCUCGGGUAAUGGCAGCCCCUCAUGGGACUCCAACCACUGCAUUGUGGAUAAACGUGGGAUACCAUUUCUCUCUCAACGGUUCAGGGCAUAGCACAACUGUCGUGAUUUCAUGAGAUCGUGUGCCCGCUCUUUGGGCGAUGGGUAUUUGCUUGGUAUAUGUCUCUGGUCAGUAUAUUCUUGUGGCCGGUACUCGUCUCUAGUUGGCCCAUGCUUGUAGAAGGCUCUUUAUCAGUGUUCUGCUCGUACCAUUUAGCUGAGGUGAUUCACCCCGGGGUGGGAGAUGAUGGCAUGGCUGAGCUGAUGCUCUUAAUUACUUAACACGAAUGUCCAAAGUCGUGCACAAACUCUAGCCUGUCAUUGUGUUUAGGAAUUCCUGUGCCAUUUUGCAUGCAAAUACAAAUUAAUAAUUAAUGACAACACUACUUGUCUGAAUUUUCAUCUUGCAGGGAUCUUGCGUACAAUGAAUUUAUAUUUCCAGAACCAGAGGCACACAAGUAAGAAAAUAGCGUUAAUUAAUUAAUUGGUUCCUUUCUUUAUUAAUUUUUUUCUUUGCAGUUGCAUGCAUGCUUUUCCACAUGCAUAGUUGUAUAUAUAUAAAUGAAUUUCAUAAUAAUUUUAAAUUUUUAUCUUGUAGGAAUCUUCCCAACAACAAUUCUCGGAUAAAUCUGUAAGAAAAUUAUACUACACCGUAUUAUAUAAUAUCCUCCUACGUUUUUACUCAUUUUCGCGCUUCAAAUUUCAAUUCCAACAGUUUCUGUCUAUCUCGUUUUCUGAUUUUGAUUUUAACUUUCAAUGGACAUGUGAUAUCUGCACGCAUACUAUUAACAAUAUUGCUGCUGUAACCAGUGAACCUAAGAAUCGGUAUGUUCAUAUUCAUUUAUCUAAUAAUUAUAUUAUAGGUGAUUUAUCGAUCGAUCAGCAAGCAAUUAUUACGUGAAUUAACGCCCUUACAAAAUUAAUUGAUCUUAUUAUUGUAAUUAUUUAUGAAGGACAUUUCCGGCAGAGAUUGUGAGGAAGUAUUGCCCCGAUGGCCAGAAGAAAUCUCAGUGUAUGUAUACAUAUCCAUCUGUACAGAAAUGUUCCUAUUAAGGAUUUGUUAAGUUCCGGAAAAACUGUUGUUUAAAUUAUAUAUAUAUAUAUAUAUAUAUUUUAUUAUUAACUCAUGCAUACACUGAAACUUGAACUCAAGACUUGAGCUCCAGGAAGGCUGUCCUUUGCCACCAGAGCUGGACCUUGGUUUCAUAUACAUUUUAAAAUUAAUCUACCGGAGCUACAUCUUGGUUUCACAUACAUGUUUAAAUUAAUCAAUGUGUAUAUAUGUUGCAGACAAUUAUAAUUUGCAUAUAAAUACUGGUGGCGAUGAACAUAACAUCGAAGGAAUUCGGUAUGAGGCAGAUAACUCGACAUCAAAUUUUUAUGUUAACAAACCGGCGUACAACUGGGCAUAUAGCUGUAACGGAUAUUUCUUUUCGGAUUCAACGGCUGAUUCACGUGAAUUUAUACAGAAAGUAACAUGUGGAGCUGCAGUGACUGAUGCACCUUUAUAUGACGAAGCUCGCCUUUGCCCCAAUUCUCUCAAAUACUAUGGUUUUUGCUUGCGAGACGGCAAUUACACUGUCAGUCUUUACUUCUCUGAGAUUGUUUUUACAAACAACGAUGAUUACAGCAGUUCAGGAAAACGUGUAUUUGAUAUAUAUAUACAGGUAGGUACGCUAGCCACAAAAUUUUUUAAUAAUUUUAAUUAGCAAUUUAUCCCUCCCUCGCCUCCUUUAAUUAAUUUUAAUUUUGCAUGCAUGCAGAGGGAGCUAAGGCUAAAGGAUUUCAACAUAAAAGAAAUGGCCAGGCAUUCAAAUAAUGUAACGAUUCAAAGUUUCGAGGCUUCUGUACGAGAGCAUCUACUGGAAAUUGAGUUAUUCUGGGCUGGCAAAGGAUCUUUAUACGACCCACCUUAUUUUCAUGGACCUCUCAUAUCAGCUAUUUCUGUAACUCCAAGUACGGUUCAAAGUUGCAAUCAUUGCUCUGUUCAAUUUUGUUAAUUAUCAUCUCCCAAUAUGCCUUUUGUUGCAUGCUAUCAAUCGCUGUUUAAUUUUCAGAUUUCGAAGUCAACCGACCAGGAGGACUAUCAAAAAAAGUGAUAGUAGGAAUUGUACUUGGGGCUGUGCUAGCUUUGAUUCUUUUCAUGGCUCUCGUGUGGAGAUUAGGAUGGAUAGGAGACAGAGAAUUGCGUGGUACGUACGGGAGAUUAUUUAUAUAUAUUGGAAAAAUUUUCAAUUCGAAGUUAAAUCCCAGGAUGGAUUUAUGAUUUCGUAAAUCGAUUUUUACAAUGUUCUAAACUGAUUUACAAUAUAAUAAAUCUAUCUCGAACUUUAAUACUAGAUUUUAAGCCUGGUUAUCAUAAGCACUAUAUAUAUAUAUGUGCCAUAUAGAAAUUAUCAGGUGAGGGAUUUGGUACUGUAAUAAAUGCGAGAUGAAUUUUUACAAUAUUGUAAGUUUAGUAGAGUGCAGGACGGAUUUUUGAAGUCUGUUUGCAGCGUUUUGAAAAUUUGUCUCGUAUUUUAAUUGAGUGCAUAAUCCCACAUUAGAAGCCCACUUUAUGCUAUCUAUGCUAUAGUACUUUAUGCUAUAUUGCUAUAGUAUAAGGCUUACAAAAGAUAUCAAGAAAAAAUAUAUGUAUAAUUGAUCCGUUUCCUUUCUCAUUUCUUCAUGAAAUACACAGUGACAACGGUCAACCUACGAGGGAAGUCUUACACCGUUAAACAAGUGAAAGUCGCUACUCGAAAUUUCAGCCCCAGGAAUGUAAUUGGCACGGGGCGUUUUGGGACAGUAUACAAGGUUAAACAUUAAUUGCCGUAUCUCUCUUUAUGUGCAUGUGUACGUGUGUGUGUGUUUUGUGUGUCCGUGUGUGCUUGCGUGCGCAUCGUUAUGAAAGAUUUUUUAAUCUGGGAUUAAAAUUCAGGAUAAAUUAACAAUGGUGUGAACAUGUUUUUACAAUGUUAUAAAUAUAUUUUCACAAUAUUGUCAAUUUGUCUCAAACUUUAAGAAAGUUUGAGAUCCUAAACUAGAUUGCUACUUAUAUAUAAUAAGGGAUCCUUAGCUUUUUAAAACAAGAGAUCAUCUAAAAGGUCUUAGUAAUUUAUCCAUUACUUUAACAAAGUAAGGGAUUCCUUAUUUGAAAAUUUUCUCUCUCUAUAUAUAUAUACAUAUAUAUACUCACUAAGAUCCUACUUUUAUUGGAGUCCAGGAAAGCUAUUAGAAUAUAUGGUUUAAUAGUAUAAUGUCACUAUUAAAUCAUAUCGCUCAAUAGUUUUCUCGAACUUUAACAAAUUCAAUAUCAUUGAUUGGAACAUAAUACUAUGAAAUUGUAUGGCUUAAUGGCUUUUUCAGGCUUUAACAAAGUUGAGGAUCCUGAAUCAGAUUAAUACUCUAUAUGUAUGUAUGCAUUUAUGUAUAUGAAUUGAUUUUCCUUGUUAGAAAUAUGGUAUAUUAAUCUGCUUGCAUGGUGCAAGCAUGCAUUACAGGCUGAAUUGCCAGAUCAGACUGUAGCUGUGAAGAUGCUUUCUUCUCAAUCAAAGCACGUGAUUGAUCAAAUAGGAACUGAAGUUUAUGCCCUUACAACACUGAAACAUGAAAAUAUUGUCGAAUUUUUGGAUGGCUACUCUAAAAAAGACCUCAACUUACUCAUCUACGAAUACAUGGAAAAAGGAUCGCUUGAACGAGCCUUGUUUGGUAAACCAAUUUAUAUAUAUUUUCAUCAUCAUUUUAUUUCUAUUAAUUAUUCAGUUUAGUGUCAUCUUCUAAUCGGGAAUCCUGAACUUUAUUAAAGUCGGGGAUGAAUUUACAUUUUUUUAAGCUAACUUUUUCACUAAUUGUUUUUAAAAAAUUGUUUUCACUCAAUUCCCGAUUGGAAAAUUAAGUAUUAGCUUAUGUAAUAGGUUAAAAUUACUUUCUUUUUUAAAAUUAAAGUUAAUAGUUAAAUAUUUGCAGAUGCCAAUUCUUCCACGCGACUUGAUUGGCCAACCAGAGUCCGUAUCUGCCAUGGAAUAGCAAAGGGUCUAAAGUAUCUACACGAAGAUAAUCCGAGUCGUAAAAUCGUUCACAGAAAUAUUAAACCUAGCAAUAUUCUGCUUGAUGGGAAUCUGAACGCUAAGGUGUCUGACUUGGGAUUGGCAAAGCUUUAUGACGAAGAAAAUCCAUACAAGUUUAUCCAAGAAAAAGGGACAGUGUAAGUAGCAAAUUAAAUUGAGCAAGCACAAAAUGCAUGCCAUCUUGCACAAGCAAUAUCAUUAAUUAAUUAAUUAUGGUUGCAUGCAGAGUUUACAUGGCACCAGAGUACGCAAUGCGGAAAGCAAUAACAGAAAAAGUUGAUGUUUUCAGUUUUGGAAUUGUUCUGCUUGAAAUAAUUAGUGGGCAGACAAAUGCCAAGUAUGAAGCAAACCAAGAGACUGAAUUUCUUUUGGAUACGGUAAGAAGACAACAACUAGUGUCAGCUUUCAGUUCGGGAAUCUCAAAUUUUAUAAAGUUCUACACAAUACCUUUUUCAUGGUUUACGACAUUGUAAACAGAAUCCUGCACUCCAAAAAUUCCAGGAUUCCCAGAUUGAAAAUAUCUCCUCUAUAGACAUAAAAUAAGGUCUUAAUUUAAUUUGCUAAUGAUGUCGCAUGGCAUGGGAUAUAUGGAUUAAUUAAUAAACAAAUAAUGUACACUGUGCAGGCCAUUGUGUUGCAUUCAAAGGGAAGGCUUUCUGAAUUGGUCGACAAGCAAAUGCCAAAUGAGCAUGUAGUGAUGAAGCAAGCCAAAAUAAUCUUGGAGUUGGCAAUGAGAUGCGUGGAUCAGUCCCCUACUCUCAGGCCAACUAUGUCUGAAGUUGUGAGCGAGCUUGAGCGUAUCUCUAAUUAGAUGAAGCAACUGCUCAGGAUUCUAUGGACUGGAUCCUUAUUGAACUCUGGACUGGAAUGUCUUGGUGAAGGUUAAGCCUAUAUACUACGAUUAUGCAAAGGUAUGUGCACCGGGCAUCAUCUUAUGUUGACGGUGCACUGCUGCUUUCAAAUAUAUAUGGGUCGCUAUAAUGCUGUAAACUUUUAACAGCAUUAAUAAUGUAAUAAAUGUAUGCCAUUAGAUUUAAUUACUCUAAUGCAAUAUUUGUGUUAAAGUAAAAGAUAGCUUAAUUAAUAAUUAUUAUAACUACUCUUAUAGUUUGAAACAAUUGUACUUGAAUAAUACUUUUAUUUAAAUAAACCUUUAAAUGAAUAUGGUGUAACUCUAAUAAACAACACAACUAAAUAUGUACAUUUAAAUGAAUAUCAUAAAUUGUAUAAAUAAACCUUUAAGUGAGAUUUUUUGUAUUUUAUAUAUAUUAGGACCUUUGUAACCCAUUUCUCAUAUAUGCCAAGAUCAACCUAGGACACGUAGGCUCGGCUUGGGUUGGGUUUUCCUACUAUCCCUAUUGCCAAGUGAUGGACCAUAUGGAAAAUCCACACAUGAAAUGCUUUUUGAUGUACCACCAAAACUAUCUUGCUUAAGAGUUUUUGCUUGCUUGUGUCUUGAUAAGAAUUUUUAGAUUAAGAAUAAAUUUGACCAACAUGUAUGAUAUCCCUUACAACCCAUUUAUUAUAUGCAAAUUCUAUUCAAUUCUAAGUACGAAUUUGAUUUUAUUUUUUUUACUUUAAUGAAUAUAAAUUAGGGUUGGGCUAUUUAAACCCACCAUAGUACUUUAUGCACCCACUUUUUCAUAAAAAAUUUAAUAACUAAAUGUCCAUGAGUUAAAUUACUAUUAUAUCUAAAUGAAAUUAGCCUAUCCUCUCCACCAUCUAUGAAUCCAAUUAACUUAAUUGAUUUUCCUACAAAAUGAGUAGAAAAGAGCAAUGUUUUAAUUUCGUUUCAUUUUCUUUUCACCUAUACUCUUCCGAGUACACUUUUAUAGAUAUAUUUUCUUUUAAUGUGUGACAUUGUUGGUUAGCAAACUUCUACCUCUUGGAUUCAAUCCCCUUUCAACUCAAAUAUGUUUCUCAACUAGAUACAUAUUUAUUUUUAGAAUCAAUUAAGGAGCAAAGAGAAAAUAAAAUCUGAAUUGUUUUUGGCUUUUCUUACAUUUAUGAUGCAAUCAUGCAAUGAGUUCCACAAGGAUUAGACAAUAAAUUAAAAAUAAAAGUCAUAUAAUCAAUCAUAAAGAAAACAAACCAUGCGAGAUGGCUAAACCAUUGAUAUUUUAAUUUAUUGUUGGGUAUGAUUCAAAUAUACUUUCAUAGUCUUAACGUACUUUCCCAACAAGUGAUUCUGUAUUUCUAGGGAUAAAACAUUUGAAAUUAAUUUAGUAAAGGUAUAUUGGCAAUGAGGUGGGUUUAUAAAGUAAAACUUUCAUAUGUAAGAGAGGUUUAUUGAGAGAAUGUGUUUAAAGAGUAUUUUAAUGGGUUCUAAUAGCCUUACCUUAUAUAUUAAUAUCACUAAGGGAUUUUACCAAUGACCCAUCAAAGAUGUAUUAGUGGAAUUAAUUAGCAGGUGCUUCCUUUUAUAUUCAUAAGACCUAUGACUUGUGUGUUAUUACUACAUUGUAUGUUGAAAACAGAAGGGGACUAAACUGCUCAAUAUUAAAACUAUUUAGGCAAUAGAAGAAUUUGCUAAAUUGGAGCACUUUAUUGAUAGUUUACAAGAAAAACACUACAACACUCAUGGCUCACUCAUCUUUCUCUAUACUAAUUCUUCACUCUUUACUUGAUGCCUAUAACAAAGAGCUUUAAGGAUAUUUGUAGUAACUUAAAACUAAUAUAAACCACACAAAUAUCAAAUUAUAAAAAUUUAAUAACCUCAUUUUACAAAUAUCACCAAAUAUUCACGAACAUUCUAGAUUUAGUUAUUUUUACUUCUAUUAGAUAUUUUUUAAAUUAUAGUCAUCUCUCAUUUUCUACACAAUUCUUGAAACUUCCAUGGAUUAAACUUUAAAAUUGGGCUUGGCUAAGUAUAAUUGUAUUAGAUCAUGACCCAACGCCAACUUUCAUCCUUUGAUUCAUAUUUAGUUGUUGCUGGAACUCUUGAAACUUUUCGAUACUAAGACUUUUUGUAAACAAAUCUGCAACUUGAUCAUCCAUCUUGAUGUACAACAUUUCAACUUUAUCCUGCAAGAACUUUUCCCUGAUGAAGUGUUAGUGCACCCCCACAUGCUUAGUUCUCCGUUAAGCUAAUAGCCGAUUGGUUAUCACAAUAUAAUGAUACUGCGUAAUCUACUAGUUGGUGUAGCUUCUUCAUCAACUGCGUUAGCCAAGUGCUUUCUUGAACGGUCAUAGCGCUGCUACUCUAUACUCCACUUUUGUGGUGAUAAUGAUAUAGUUGGUUGUCUUUUACUACACCAAGAAAUUGUUCCAGACCCAAUUCUAAAAACAUAUUCAGUACUUGAUCUUCUUGUAUCAUGAUCUCCGACGUAGUCAGCAUCAUAAUAGCAAGUCAGCUUGUAACUUUCACUUUUUGUAACUUUCACUUUCUUUUACAAUAUACCAAAGUUGAUUGUAUGUUUCACAUAUUUUAGUAUUUUUCAAACCAUUUCCAAAUGAAGCUUCUUUGGAUUUUGCAUAUAUCAGCUUAUUACACCUAUUGCAUAUGAAAUGUCUGAUCGAGUUAACGUUAAGUAGAACUUUUUAUGAAUUUUCGAUAUAUCGCUUCAUCUUGUAAAUCUUUGCUUUCAUGUGUGCAAAAUUUUGCAUUGACUUCCAUUGUAGUUGAGAUUGGCUUGCAUUUUAACAUUCAAAACUUCUUCAACAAGUUUUUGGCAUAUUUCUGUUGGCAAAAGAAUAUCCCUUCUUCUAUUUGAUCAACCUCUAUACUAGGAAAGUGCUUCAGCUAACCAAGUUCUUUCAUCUAGAAAUGAACUGAUUAGUUCUCCCUUUGCUCGCCGAAUCUCUUCUCCAUCGUCACCAUAAAUAAUCAAAUCAUCCUCAUACCCCAAUAUAGUUGUUAACUUUCCUUUAUCAGAUUUGACGAACAAGCUAGAGUCUACAUGUGCUACUGCCACUCUAAGUUAGAAAUUCAACAAUCUUACCAUACUAUGCCCUUGGUGCAACCGUAUAAUGCCUUUCUUAGCUUGCAUACAUAUUUCGGAUGAGCUUGAUUCUCAAACCCUCUUAGUUAGUUCAUGUAGAUCUCUCAAUCCAAUUCUGUGUAGGAAGACAUUUUUUACAUCUAUCUAUCAUAAUUUCCUUUCUUUGUUGGCUGCGAGUACAUGUAGAGCUCUUGAUGUUGUGAGCUUUACCAUCAAAGUAAAUGUUUUAUCAUAGUUUAGCCCGUAUUGUUGUGAGAAUCCUCGAGCUACUAACCGAGCUUUGUGUCUUUCAAUUGAACCAUCUGGGCAAUUUUUAAUCUUGUACACCCAUUUGCAAGAUAUUUUAUAUCCUUUAGUUUUGGAACCAGAUCCCAAGUUUGAUUAUGCUUCAAUAAGGUGAUUUUUUCCUUUAUCGCUUUCAUCCAAUGAGAAUUCUCUGCUAGUUAUUCAAAUGUCUCAGGUUCUUUUACUUUUUUCUUAUUCUACAUCUACUACAUUAAUGUACAUGAGAUUUACCUUUCUCAUUCUUUUUGGAUCUUUUAAGUUGAAAUUUAGAAGUUCUUGGUUCUACUUUAUUUGGUUCUUCGUCUACAAUAGAGUUCUUGUGAACACUUGUCUUUCAAGGACUUUGCGCCUUAUCAUGCUCGAUAUCAUCAUCCCUUAGAUCAUCAGAAUCUUUAAAUUCUUCUUGGCUCCGGUGAAUUUCAAUAAUUUGUUCCUUUAUUUGGUCUUCAAUUUCUUUUGAAUCUAAUAGCUCUUCUUUUUCUGAAGACUAUCAUGAAGAUGCUUCGUCAAACACCAUAUUUUGUGUUGUGUAGCACCGUCCACUAAUAGGAUCACAACACCUCCAUUCUUUCCUCCGACAUUCAUACUCGACAAAGAUACGAUGAUCGCCUUCUUGUCAAAUUUGCUUCGUAAGUGGCUUGGUACUAAGACAUAGCACACAAAGCUAAAGGCUUUACAUUCUACAGCUUCUUGUAAGGUGAUGUGAACCCUAGUUUUGGUUAAGGAAGCCUGUUGAUCACAUGAGCUAUCGUCUUUAUAACUUUGGCCCAAAAACUUCUUGGUACAUUUUUUGCAUGCAUCAUAUUCUGAUAGAUAGAUCUCUCUUAGAUGCUGCUUUUUUCAUUCUGCUACUCUGUUCUGUUGUGGUAUAUUGGCACAAGUGAACUAAUGACAUAUCUUAUAGUCUCAAAGAUACUAGGAGAACUCAUGUGAUGUAUACUCUUAUCCACUGUCUAUUCAUAAGUAGUAAAGUUUCUUUCUUACUUCUGCUUCGACUAUGUUUUUGAAUUCAUUAAACUUUGAACAAGUAUCGGAUUUUUUUUUUAUAAAGAGGAUCCAAACAUAUCUGGAGAAGUCAUCGAUAAAUGUGAUCAUGUAUCGCAUGCCGCUUAUAAAAGAUUGCUUGACAUGCCAAAACACGUCAGAAUGUACCAACUGUAAUAGUUUUUUUACUCUGAACUUUGACUCUUCAUAUGGAAGUUGGUGAGCCUUGCCGUAUUGGCGCCUUGCACACGCCAUGUUUAUUCUCACAUCAAGUUGAGGCAGACCUCUGAGCAUUGACUUCGGACAUUAUCUAGCAUGAAUUUAUUAUAAUAAAGUGUUUGAAUAAAACCAUUUUUUCCUACAUAUUUGUCACAUGAUCAACAAAUAUGUAGGAGACAUAGAUCAAUGUUUUUUUGUUAGGCAGGAAGCCAACAACCAAAACUAGGAAUGUUACUGAUAAUAACUAAGAAUCAUAAGGUGAUCAAGGAGGAAACGAUCUUCAAAAUCACAAUCAAAUAGGAAAAAUGAAUAAACAGCCCACACUAGGACAAUAACACUUCUUUUACAAGAAAGAUGAUGUGUUUUACAGAGCUAAAGCCUGAUAAGCAGCAGCGAUGAAAUGAGCUCAAACUACAUUUAAGCAAUCUAUUAGAAAGCUCAACCUAUUCCCAAAAAAUUAGACUCAGAUCUCGGUCUCAUAUGUCUAUAUUAUGCAAAUCAGUAUAGAGGAAAAUCUGAAAUGAAAAACAAAUUAUCUGAUGCUCAUGUUUUAUUUAACUUUCUUUUGAUCUUUAAUCAAAUGGCAUAUAUACAAUGCAGCAAAUGGGUAUUUAGUUUCAUUCCCCCAAUAGCAGUGAACCGAAAAAUACCACACAUUUGAUUUAAUAGAUGAAGUUCUCUUCAUAUCAACAUAUCUAAAAAUUAAAAAUCACCUUUUCAUAAUUUUCUUGACGUGCAGCCAAAAGCUCAUUUUAUUUCAAUUGCAAAUAUGACAUUUCAGCUUGUAGCUUCUCAUAUUCAGAGACAUUGGAGCUCAUAAUUUCUGUUGAAAAAACCUGCCCACCAAAAUAAAUAAACAAAAUAGAAAAACCCAAUUUUUCAGCUAAUUAAAUGAUCCCAUUUGAAAGAAGAAAAAAAUUACAUGAACUUACUCAAGAGCAGAAGAAGGCUUGUCAUUUUACUCAUACAAUGCAACAAGCGUCAAAGUCAUGGGCGGUGCCAAACCAUUAUCAAUUUGGCCACCCAAAUUGAAGUCUAAGGAGGUGCCGCCCAAAUGAAGAAAAAAAGGAAAAAAGUUUGACAAAGAAGAAAGAAAAAAUAGAGAUGGUGGUUGGUAUACCAAAUGAAAAAAAAAUGAAAAAAAAAUUAUUUUAAUAGCCAAUUUUGGCUAUAAAAGGGGAGAGCUCCAUUUCGAUUUUAGCAUCCAAUUUUUUGAGAGGUAUUUUUGAGAGAGAGUUUAGAGAGCUUGAAAAUUAUAAGCUCUUGUAAUAGUGAUUUGCGAGUUUUGGUGUAUUGGAGUUUUAGGAAGUGAGCUAAAAUACUACAAUACUUAUAACUUCUUUUCACUAGUAAAAUAUUUCCUUCUGUUUUCACACGUGGACGUAGGCUAAAAGCCGAACUACGUAAUUUCUAGUGUCCUCUAUUGUGCUUAUUCUUUAUUUUUCUUCCAAUUUUAUUUUAGUUGCGGUCCUGCUUCACCCAUCAAUUUCCUAACAGUGGUAUAAGAGCUAUUGGUUGUAUUUUUUGGAGUCGGCUACUGUUCACAUAAGGGGUACUAUUCACAUAUACGGCACUGUUCACGUAUACGAUACUAUUCACGUGAAACGGUGGGAGUGAUCCAAGAAUUUUGCGGUGCAAAGCAGGGAAUAGUGGUGUGAGCAAAGCAACUGUGUGGUUUUGUACAUGUCUAGGAAAGUUCUGUCACAAAUGCGAUAAGAGCUUAAGGUGUCUGGGUUUUAAGUGGGAUAAUUGCGAACCCUCCAGUCUUUCCUGGGAACUUUUCUGGUGUGCAUUCUUACACAUACUCAUAAUUAUUCAAGGUGGUACACUAGCUUGUGUGCAGUAUUUAUCAACAAAAUGGCGGCAACGUAUGAAAUUGAUAAGUUUAAUGGAGCUGUAUUGAGGAAAAAUAAUUGCCUGGCAGCAAUUGGAGAAAGGCCCAUAGAGAUAACUGAUGACAGGUGGAACGAGAUAGAUGGCAAUGCCAUUUCUGAUAUACACUUAACACUUGCAGAUGGAGUAUUAUCCAGUGUGGCAGAGAAAAAUACAGCGAAAGAAAUAUGGGAUACUCUCACAAAAUUGUACGAGGCCAAGUCAUUACACAACAAAAUCUUCUUGAAGAGGAAACUUUAUACUCUUCGAAUGGCUGAAUCUACAAUGGUGACCGACCACAUCAACACCUUGAGGACUCUAUUUUCAUAACUCACAACGUUGGGUCAUAAUAUAGAGAAAAAUGAACGUUCAGAGCUUCUACUUCAAAGUCUACCAGAUUCGUAUAAUCAACUCAUCAUCAACCUGACAAACAACAAUCCAGUGGAGAGUCUAGUUUUCGACGAUGUUGCAGCUUCCGUAUUAAAUGAGGAGAGCAGGCAGAAAAAUAAGGAAAACAGACAAGCAAGUUCGCAGCAAGCGGAGCACUAUCGGUGACGAGAGGGAGAUCAACGGAACGUGGCUCUAGUGGGAGUCAAAAUCAUGGUAGAUCAAAAUCCAGAAGUAAGAAGAAUGUUAAAUGCUACAACUGUGGUAAGAAAGGGCACGUCAAGAAAGAGUGUUGGAGUAACUAGAAGAGAAAAGAUGGCAAAGAACCUGAGUCAUCAAAUGCUCAUGUGUGUGUAGCAAGUACCUCGGAUGAUGGCGAAAUUCUCUACAGCGAGGCAACAACUAUUUCAGAAGGUAGAAAAUAACUGUUUGGUGUCUGGCUUAUAGACUCAGGAGCUACCUAACACAUGACCUCUCGGAGAGAAUGGUUCCACACAUAUGAACCUAUCUCAGGAAGAUCUGUAUAUAUGGGAGAUGAUCAUGCCUUGGAGAUCGCUGGUAUUGGUACUAUCAAAAUAAAAAUGUUUGAUGGUACAAUUCGCACAAUUGAGGAGGUACGACUUAUCAAUGGCCUGAAGAAAAAUCUAUUGUCUUUGGGACAAAUGGAUAGUCAUGGGUACAAAACUCAUGUAGAAAAUGGAAUUAUGAAGAUCGUUAAAGGCGCGCUUGUAUUGAUAAAGACAGAAAAGAUCGGUGCUAAUCUAUUCAUGCUUAAAGGAGAAACACUAUAGAAGGCUGAUGCGUGUGUCGCGUCUAAUGGAGAAAAGUCAACGAUGAUGUGGCAUCUUAAACUUGGCCACAUGUCAGAACAAGGUUUGAAGAUUCUCUCACUUCCGGGGCUCAAAUCGGUAAGUUUACCAUUUUGCGAGCAUUGUGUUACAAGUAAGCAGCAUAGAUUAAAAUUUAGUAGAUCUAUUGUUAGAAGUAAAUGCAUUUUAGACUGGAUUCAUUAUGAUGUUUGGGAAUCACCGGAUAUAUCCAUGGGAUGUACAAAGUAUAUGGUGACUUUCAUUGAUGAUUAUUCCAGAAGAUGUUGGGUGUAUCUAAUUAAUAAAAAGUCAGAUGUAUUUUCAGUGUUUAAAGAAUACAAAACGCGGGUGGAACUUGAAUUUGGUAAAAAAAAUCAAGUGCUUGAGGACGGAUAAUGGUGGAGAGUAUACAGACGGCGAGUUUCUUGCCUUCUGUAAGCAAGAAGGUAUUCAGAGGCAGUUCACGGUAGCAUACACUCCUCAACAAAAUGGAGUGGCAGAGCGGAUGAACAGAACUCUUACAGAAAGAAUAAGAGCUAUGUUGAGGACUGCUGGUCUAUCCAAUUCAUUCUGGGCAGAAGCAGCCAAAACUGCUUGUUAUAUAGUAGAUCGGUCAUCAUUUACAACUAUUGGCCUGAAAAUAGCGAUGAAGAUGUGGACUGGAAAGCCAGCUGAUUAUUCCUACCUACAUGCAUUUGGAUGUCCUGUGUCCGUGAUGUACAAUGCCCAAAAAAGAACAAAGCUGGAUCCAAAAUCUAGAAAAUGUAUCUUCUUAGGGUAUGCUGAUGGAGUAAAGGGGUAUCGUCUGUAAGACCCCACUGCCCACAAGAUCAUCAUCAGCAGAGAUGUUAUCUUUAUAGAAAAUCAACUGCAAAUGAGAGAUGAGGAUUAUGGUACUGCAAAAGAAAAAUCAGAGACUGUGCCAGUAUAUGUGAAACAUAAUCCAGAAGAUUCAGAUUCUUCUGAAGCAGCACCAGAGCACGAGGAACAAGAACCAGUCGAAUUUGAGGCUCUAGAAGUUCGUUGGUCAACUCGUGAGAGACGACCGCCAACGUGGCAUUCAGAGUAUGUCACAGAGAUUAACGUUGCAUACUGUCUACUAACAGAGGAUGGAGAGCCUUCAACUUUUCAUGAAGCUUUAAACAACUCAAAUGUUACUUUGUGGAUGACAGCAAUGCAGGAAAAAAUUAAAGCUCUACAUAAGAACAAGACAUGGGAACUUGUAAUACUACCACACGGAAGAAAAGCCAUUGGAAACAAAUGGGUCUACAAGAUCAAGCGUGAUGGUAAUGACUAAGUGGAGCAGUAUCGUGUAAGAUUGGUGGUGAAAGGAUAUGCUCAGAAAGAAGGUAUUGACUUCAACGAGAUAUUUUCUCCGGUGGUUCGACUCACAACAGUCAGAAUAAUCUUAGCGAUGUGUGCUACAUUUGACUUACAUCUAGAGCAGUUAGAUGUAAAAAUUGCAUUUCUUCAUGGAGAACUUGAAGAAGAAAUAUAUAUGCUCCAACCAGAAGGUUUUGCAGAAACAGGAAAGAAGAACUUGGUUUGCAGGUUGAACAAAUCUCUAUACUGCCUCAAAUAGGCGCCGAGGUGUUGGUAUAAGAGAUUUGAUUCUUUAAUCAUGAGCCUUAGAUACAACAGACUCAGUUCAGACCAUUGUGCAUAUUACAAGAGGUUUGAAGAAAAUGAUUUCAUCAUUUUGCUGUUGUAUGUGGAUGACAUGUUGGUAGCAGGUCCCAACAAAGAUCGAAUCCAAGAAUUGAAGGCACAGAUGGCUAGGGAGUUUAAAAUGAAGGAUUUGGGAUCAGCAAACAAGAUUCUAGGGAUGCAAAUUCAUCGAGACAGAAAUAACAGGAAGAUUUGACUUUCAUAGAAGAAUUACUUGAAGAAAAUCUUGCGGCGCUUCAACAUGCAAGAUUGUAAGUCAAUUCUACCCCACUUCCUGAUAAUUUCAAAUUAUCCUCAAGUAUGUGUCCUAGCAAUGAAGUAGAGAGGAAGGAGAUGUCUCGAGUACUGUAUGCAUCAACAGUGGAAAGUUUGAUGUUCGUUAUGAUAUGUACUAGACCGGACAUUGCACAAGCAGUGAGAGCAGUUAGUCGAUACAUGGCGAAUCCUGGUGAAGAGCAUUGGAUAGCUGUGAAGAGGAUUUUGAGAUACAUCAGAGGAACCUCAGAUGUUGCAUUAUGUUAUGGAGGAUCAGAGUUUACUGUCAGGAGCUAUGUGGAUUCAUAUUUUGUACGAGACCUUGAUAAAAGGAAAUCCACUACUGUUUAUGUGUUUGCACUUGCGGGAGCAGCUAUAAGUUGGGUUUCGAAACUGCAGACCGUUGUGGUUUUAUCUACAAUAGAAGCAGAAUACAUGGCAGCUACACAAGCUUUCAAGGAAGCUAUUUGGAUACAAAGGUUAUUGAAGGAGCUCGGGCACAAACAACAGAAAAUUCCUGUGUUUUAUGAUAGUCAGAGUGCCUUGCACAUUGCAAGGAAUCCAGCCUUUCAUUCUAGGACAAAGCACAUAGGAGUUUAGUAUCACUUCAUCGAGAAGUAGUGGAAGACGGAAGUGUGGAUUUACAGAAAAUCCAAACGAAGGAGAACCUAGCAGAUGUUUUGACCAAGCCAAUCAAUACUGACAAGUUUAUCUGAUGUAGAUCCUCUUGUGGCCUAACAGAAACAUAGGCAACAUGACAAUGGCGAAGCAGAAAGGAUGGUGCGGAGAUUAAUUGAUUCUCAAUCUAAUCUCCAAGUGGGAGAAUGUCAAAGUCAUGGGCGGUGCCAAGCCAUUAUCAAUUUGGCCACCCAAAUUGAAGUCUAAGAAGGUGCCGCCCAAAUGAAGAAAAAAAGGAAAAAAGUUUGACAAAGAAGAAAGAAAAAAUGGAGAUGGUGGUUGGUAUACCAAAUGAAAGAAAAAUGAAAAAAAAAUAUUAUUUUAAUAACCAAUUUUGGCUAUAAAAGGGGAGAGCUCCAUUUCAAUUUUAGCAUCCAAUUUUUUUAGAGGCAUUUUUGAGAGAGUUUAGAGAGCUUGAAAAUUAUAAGCUCUUGUUAUAGUGAUUUGAGAGCUUGGGUGUAUUGGGGUUUUGGGAAGUGAGCUAAAAUACAACAAUACUUGUAACUCCUUUUCACUAGUAAAAUAUUUUCUUCUAUCUUCGCCCGUGGACGUAGGCUAAAAGCUGAACCACGUAAUUUCUGGUGUCCUCUGUUGUGCUUAUUCUUUAUUUUUCUUCCAAUUUUAUUUUAACUGCGGUCCUGCUUCACCCACCAAUUUCCUAACAACAAGAACUGAAAGCAACAACAACAACAAAAUGAAACAGAAAUUAAUAUUAAGUUGAAAUAAAAAUAAAAAUAAAAAAGAAAACGAAAAAAGAGAAGAUGAAAGAGAGGAACGGAAACCUUUGGUGAGAGCAUCAAGAACGCCACUAGAAUAUAAGUACUUCCUGAAAACUUCCUUUUUGGCUUCUUUUUCUGGCAAAAAGAUUAAGUGGGGGGUUGAAGAUUUCAGCAGAUAUGGUGAUUAUCAUCAAGUGGAUCAGCUGCAUUAUGCAUACAUUAGUGUUACCUCUUUGUAUCGCAUCAUCAUCUGCUCUCUAAUCUUCUUCUUGUUGCUAAUGGUAUCACUGAUUCUGUUCAGACAAUGAAAAAUCAAAAAAAAAAAAAGAGGAAAAAUCACAGAAAAAUAGAAGGGUUAAUUUCAUUGCACCCCUUAAUUGUUGAUUUAAUUUUAAUUAACCCCAAAUGAAACUCUGAACAAUGGACAGACACCCUCUAUUCUAGCCUAAAGUUUUAAACCCAACCCAACCCACUAAACUAACAUGUGACUUUAAGAGAAAGCAAUCAAUAAAAAUAAUAAAAAGGGUUAAUUCCACCCUGCCCCCAAAUGUUUCAACAUAUUCUACCGUGCACCCAAAUGUUUCAACAAUACCCAACUUACACCCAAAUCCGUUAAUUUGACCGUUUAUUCUAACGGUCAAAGGGUAAAUUUGAAAGUUCAUGCCCUAAAUAUUAUUUAAUGAUGAUAAAUUAAAUUUAUUUGAUAAGUUAAUUGAUGAGAUUAUUAUUAAUUACCUUUAAUUAAGAAUUUUUAAUGUAAAUAUUUAUUAUUGGAUUAGUAUUUUAUCCCAUUUAAUUCUUUUCUAAUUCAAGAUAAGAGGUAUUUCAGUCAUUUCAUUAAAUUUCAAAUAACUCCGUUAAAAAUAACGGUCAAAUUAACAAAAUGGGGUGCGUGAUGGAAAAUGUCGAAAAGUUUAGGUGCGCGAUGGAAAAUAUCGAAACAUUUAGGGGUUGGGUGGAAAUAACCCGAAUAAAAAUAAGGUUCUUUAGCAGACAUGGAUAACCAAUUGCAAAAAUGCCACACAUUGAGCAGUGAAUCUCAGACAUGGAUAACCAUUCAACUCUAAAGGAAUGCAAAGCUCAGUAAAGAAAAUAAAAAUGUACACAUCAACAGCUAACCAAGAUACCGAGUGCCAAAUAUAGUCAUGGCAGUCAAACAAAUUUUCAGUCAAAAUUACUGGGAGAAUAUAACAGGGAAAGUUCCGCACACAAGUGAUCAUGACUAAGCUGAGGCAUCAUCCUGAAUGCAGAUACAUCAUACAUGUACAGGUUAACAUGGAAGAAAUCAGAGUGAGAAAUUUGCUUCAACUUUUACAGCGAUAACCAUGUGGAAAUCAACAAUAAAGGAAACAUUAUUAUCAAGCCAUAGUUCACCAAGGAAUCAAUACGUUCAAUUUUUUCCAACUUGUCCUGAAAAGCAUUCCACCUACGUGUAAAAGGGCACUGUUUAUCCUGCAAUUGUGUUCCUCUUGUUAAUACAAUUGUACAUGACAAAGGUUAAUAAUUGGCUUUUAAAGGGAACAUGCAAAGUCACCUCAAUUUUUGUGUCACUGGUUUGAUCCUGGACAUUUGAAUUUAUCAAUUGUCUUCUCUCAUCAUGCUCGACUGAUUGUUGCAAAGGCAUUUUUGUUUCAGAGGUUUUCCUUGAACGAGUGGUUCUGUAGGCCAAGUCAGUAUGUAUUGUUUCCAUGACUGAGCCAAAGAAGUUUGUCACAGGUACCUAUACAGAGAAAGAGAGAAACAAUGGCAAACUCUUAGUCAAAACUCAGAAGUUAUUUCAACCCUAACAAAAAUUUUGAAUAAAAAGGUAGCAUCAGCUUCAAUACUAAUCAAUUAUUGUAAAGCAUAGAGGUGAUUCACCUCAAAAAGUGAUCAUAGUUUGCUUCAAAAUUAGUAAUAUUUAUCAGGGCAGUGGUAAACCAUCCUCAAUUAUCCAUAAUUAAGUUUAACAUAGACCAAAGGCCCCUUCACAUCAUUCAGCCAAGCAACCACUAAGCUGAAGAGGUUUAACAAAACAACAUCUAUGUAUAAUUAAAAAUAAGCAUAAGAUGUACGCAGCUUGUGCACGUGAAAAAUGAGCACAAACUUCACCUAAACAACCGUAAAGAAUAAAAAAAAAAAAAAAAGAUCAGAGCGAACCAGUUAGAAUGGAAAUGUAGAAUAGAAAUAUUAAAAGGAUCGGAGAAAAGCCCAGAACUUCCAUACCUCCUCCAAUUUUCUUUGGUAUAGAUCUGUUCGGUAAUAUGCAGUUGACAUUAACAGAGUUGGAUUGUAAGAAGUGAAAAGACUGCAAAACAACUGUCACAGAUGUGCUAUAGACGGGGAUGGGCAAAAUCCCGGGCCAGCUCAGGGUCUUGGGCUCCAUUCGGUACUGCUGUAUUGUGGCUGUGCUUCCAAAGCAAAGCUGCCAAAGUUUUUAGUAAAACACUUUCAGCUUCAUUUUGGAAGCUAACCUAAUUUUACCCAUAGUUGUUCUAUGAAAAAUUAUUACCCUCACUAACUUACCUUUAACAAACUUCAAAGCUUUGAUUACCAAACACUCAUUUAGUUUCACUAAAUAGCUAGUGCUUCCAUUUCACAGAAGUUGCGGCUUCAAAGCCUCAACACCACAAUCCCAUAAGAAGCCUUACUGGUGGGUUAUGACUAAAGAGCACCCAAGCCAGGAAAAUACCUAGUUUCUGGGAAGCCCCAGCUGGAUCUGGUGAUGUUUGGCUGGGAUCAGGUUAUAAAACUUAUAUUGGCAUUCAAGCUUAUGUGUCAGAGACUCUAAGAUACUACUCUUAUAACGAGCAUAAAGUCCUACUUUCGUGUACCUGCUCAAUGACGCAUUGUCAUACAUAUUCAGCUUUUCAAAGAAAGCAAGGGUAUAAAAUGUGAAACGAUCCACGACAGAUACUCCAACCUGAAGUUAAUAAGAGAUGUUCAUAUGUAAUAACUGCAAUUGUAGAAGCAAAAUAAAAGAUUGAAACUUCAAAAACAGGGUAUACUAGGUCCUAUAUGUUUAAAGGAUUGGUAAACAAGAAAAUUCUAUCUUCUUAGCACUUACAUCAGAGUCCAAGUGAUGAGAAUAUGAGUUCUCCCCUUUCAUGCUACUUCCAAUAGCCAAAACACCUGGAGAAUGAAGCUGCACAAUUUAAAAAGGCGUUUCCUUCAGCAUCAAAACCACUGGUUAGGUAAAUCAACUUUUUAAAUGUAUGCUAAGUUAAAAGACUCAGAAAGUCACGUCAAUGGAUCCAAAUUUGAUUCAGAAGCUUGUUACUAAACUCAAAACUUAGAUGAUAGCGACCAGAUAUGUAAACAAAGAGGCAUCUCACAAAAGCCAAGGUGCACAACAAUUGUAAACAUUGCUUUCAUGAACAAACAUUUGCGGAUCUCAUGCGGCGGAGCAGGGGUGUAGGCCCACAAAUGAAACAGAUAACUGCUUGAGUAUAAUGACAUUUGAUUCUUAAAUAAUUAUGAGUAGUCACCAAUGAAAGAGCAGCUAUGAAGUGAUUCGUAGUUUAACCAUUCAAACUGAGCAACGUAGGUUAAAGAUUUUUCUUCACACUACCACGCGCAUGUUUCGCUAGUUUAAAAAUAAUACUGCAGAAAAGUAAAAUCUAAUAAUCGCUAGAAGUAACUAGUCUAAUAUUUAUGAAAAGUGAAACCCAUUUAAACACACCAUACUAACCUGAGAAAAGAGUGUGGCAGCUUGGCAAGUGUCCACCAUUAUCAACAACUCCUUGAAUCUAGUUUUGUGGUAAGACACACAAGCUCAUUAUUAAGCAGGAUCAUUAACGCAUAAAUGUCAACGGCCACCAAAAUCUACCAUAAACAAUUAGCAUUUCACGUCGGCAUUUUCCAUUGAGAAAUAAAUAUGUUUCAUACAUACACCAUCCAAAAUGGCAGAACUACAAGUCUAUAAACCCUUUUACUUUCAUUCUUAUGGUUGAAUGUUAUUGUUAAAGGCAACAGGCAUGAAAGCAGAAUACAAUCUUAUCUGCGCUUUUCUUUCAUUUGCUUCACUGCAUCUGCUAGAUCAUGACUUUGGAGCUCUUCUGAGUCCUGAAAUUUUAAAAAUUCAUCUCACCCAUGCCCAGUCAUGUAUAGAAGAAUAUGGCUUCCUUCGUCACUUAAAAGACGCUUUGAUCUAGGAACAGCAGCCUCGUGAUGCCCGGUCAAAACUCUUAAAAAGUUUUCAGCAUUCACUUCAUAACCAUGAUAGUCUACCUGGGUGAUUGAAGUUUAGUAAAAUGAGGAUCUGCUAAACUUUAAUUUCCUAGAAGCAAGGCAUGUUCAGUAAUUAUACAACCUUAAAUUUAAAUUCUUGAUUGACUGUCUCCAUAAGGUGUUCAGUGAAAGCCUUAUGGAGACUUAUAAGGAGACAGCACCCCUUUCAAAACCUAAAGACCUAGGCAGAGUAUCUGGAGAACACAGUACCAACCUCGACAUUAUCUCCAUACAAAUUAAGUUUAUGGUUCUCGUUAUUGAAAACUUGUGCUGGAUACUUGUUUCUAGAAUUACAAGCCAUGUCAUCUACCAGCAUAAGUAUUAUCCUCUCAUCGGGUAUUCCUAGCCGCUUAACUGUUCUGAAAAAUCAAGUUAAAGUGCACAGUCGACAAAUGAAAACAGGAGGGAAGAGGAAUGCAAAUUACUUCACAAGAUGAUGUGAAAACAACAAGCUAAUUGCUUACCUAUAUAAGGAUAAUGUGUUAGCCAUAUGCCGAUAAUUGAACCUGAAAAAACCAAUUCAGCAAUUAAUUCAAUUGGCAAAGGACAUGGAAUCGGUUUUUAGUUCAUCAAAACAAUGCCAUUUGACAUGGCUCAAGUAUCUAGUAACUUUAUGAAUCCAAGCAAUAAAAAACUUAAAGAAUCAAGCUUAUCAACAAGAAUGCAGUAAUAUUAGCUGAAACUCAGAAAUUACAAUCACAAGAAAGAGAAAUUGUAACAUGGGUAUUGUUUAUCAUCAACAUUGUUACAUGGGUAUAAUUUAUAAUGUAAUGGCAAAGCGUUAAUUCUUCCCAAAUCAAAUCAAAAUCGGGAAAAAAAAUUAUAAAAACUGCAAAAAAUAAAAUAAAAUAAAAAUGAAGGUGAUUUAGUUACCAGAAGCGAGAAGUGCAAACCAAGACAGCCCAAUUGUUAGUGUGCAUGGUUGUCUCAGCUGACGCUCUGUACGAAAUCGAAAUAGAGAGAAUAAAAAACAACAGCAUCGCCGCCAAACUUUUGAAACCAAAUGAAUUGUACAUCUUGAACCGGACCAUCAUUUUCUCGCGAAUUUUAAUUUCUGGGUCAAAAACUCAAGACUGUGAUUUAAAUUUUAUUCGUUUUUUUUUCCUUUCCCUCUUUUGCUGAGGAUGAAAUCUAUUGUUGCAGUUUCAGUGACGCAAACAGUGCUCCGGCCGGAUCCACGUCCCGGAGCUGCAAAUAGGAUACAAAUUUGGUCCGCUCCCGUCUCGUAAUCCGACGCAUAAUUGAUCUUUAAGCCACCAAAACUUUUUGAAAAUUCCUGGGCAAUGGGAAAUGCUAUUUCCACAAAAUUAAAUUACAAGCUCAUUUUAAUUUAGAUUCCUAUAAGUUAAUUCUGAGUUUACUAAACUAGAAUAAGAAUGAGUUGAAAUUGGAAUGCACGUGAAUGAGAAUGAGCUGGAAUAGAAAUAGGAAAUGAUGAGAAUUAGAAUAAAUUAUUUACUUGAACAGUAGGAAAUGAGCUAAAUUGUCAUAAAUAUGUUUACUUUGUCUUGUAAUCAGAAUCAGAAUGAGUUAGAUUGUAACAAAUUAUUAAAAAAUACUUAAUAAAUUAUUGUCAUAAUUAUUAUUUUAUAUAUUAAUUAUAGUGAUUAUUUAUUCAAAAAUUAUUAUUAUUAUUAAUUAUUGUCAAUAAUAUAUUGAUAUAUUAAUUUAUUAUAAUAAUUAUAUUAAUAAUUAUUAUAAAAUAUAUCAAUUAAUAAUAUUAAUAUUACUUAUUUAAUUAUAAUAAUAUAUUAAUUAUUGGGAUUAUUUAUUCAAAAACUAUAAUUAUUAAUAUAUUUUUGUUAAUAAUGUAUUAAUAUAUUAAUUAAUAGUAAUAAUUAUAUUAAUGAAUUAAUUAUAAUAAUAUAUGAAUUAAUUAUAAUAACUAUAUUAAUGAUUAUUAUGAUAGUAUAAUUAUUAAUUAAUUAUAAUAAUAAUAUAUUAAUUAUUGUAAUUAUUUAUUCAAAAACUAUAAUUAUUAAUAUAUUAUUGUUAAUAAUGUAUUAAUAUAUUAAUUAAUCGUAAUAAUUAUAUAUAUUAAUUACUAAUAAUAAUAAUAUAUGAAUCAAUUCUAAUAAUUAUAUUAAUUAUUAAUAAUAAUAAUUAUAGUUUUUAUAUUAAUUAAUAGUAAUAAUUAUUUCAAUUAAUUAAUGAUAGUAUAUGAAUUAAUUAUAAUAACUAUAUUAAUAAUUAUUAUAAUAGUAUAGUAGUAAAUUAAUUAUAAUAAUAAUAUAUUAAUUAUUGUGAUUAUUUAUUCAAAUAUUACAAUUAUUAAUAAUUCUUAUUAAUAAUGUAUCAAUAUACUAAUUAACUAUAAUAUACUAAUUAAUUAAUUAUAAUAAUAUAUUAAUUAAUUAUAUAUUUGGCUUUUUUAUUUUUUAUAUUUAUAUUUUUGAUUUAAAGGAGUGGCAUUUUAAGAAAAUUUGAAUGUCAAUGGCAGCAAAAUGGGAACUCUAGGGAAUGGGAGAUUGAUUCUCACCUUCGCCCAUCAUAAUCAAUCUCUCAUUCCCCAUUCCCAAAUAGUGGUGGGCCCCACGAUUUCGAUUCUAGUUCUUACUCCAUUUUUGCGAAGUAAAUGCCGUCAAUCAUUCCGAUUCCGGAUUCCGAUUCCCCAAUCCGAGAAGUAAAUGCACCAUAAGUAAACAAUUUAUUCUUAUUCUCAUUCUUCAUUCCAAUUCCAACUCAUUCAAAUUCUAGCGUAAUUCGAUUUCAUUUUUUUUUUGUUUUUUAAAGUUAAAUUCAUUUUGUAUUUUGUGAUUUUUUUCAGCUUUUAAUAUAUAUAUAUGUUACUAAUCCUUAAUUGAAAUGGAUGGAAUUAGAAUGUUAAAUGGGAAUCAAAAUAAUUUUUUUACUUUACUCAUAGGAAUUGGAAUACAAAUGAGUUGUAUUACUAUUAAUGUGUUUAUUUUAUCUUGCAAUCAAAAUAGAUUAUUACAAGUUAUUAAAAUAACCUAAGUUGAUUAUUGUCAUUAUUUAUUAUAAUAAUUGUGAUUAUGAUUAUUAUCAUUCAAUAUAAUUAUUAUUAAUAA